ACAAAGAUCAAGGAGUGCGGCAGUGGAGGCGGUGUCGAACAAAGAAAUCGAGGAUUGUGCAAGAAAGAGAGAGAGAGAGAGAGAGAGAGAUCGAUCGCAUGCGGAUAAGGUUGAACAAGAGAAAAAGAGAAUGGCCUGUUGGGGAGAAAAAGAGAGAUUACCGCCGUUCCGUAACGACCUUUGAACUGAGUGGAGAAGGCUUUUUAUUAAUUAGGAUUGCAUAAUUGCACUAACCCCUAAACUUUUUAAGUUGAACAAAAUAAUCCUUCUCUAUCAAAUAAAUAAAAGUAUGGGGUAUUACAUUCCAUCACCUCCUCUCGCUAAUCUCGGUACCGAUAGGCUCGAGCAUCUGAAAGCUCAUCUUGUUGUGCAGGGCUAUAAACAACAACAGAGGAUCAACUUUGAUGAGACCUUCACCCAUGUUGUUAAACUUACCACCAUCCAAACAGUUAUUUUAGUUGAUCUCUCAUCUAGAUGGACUUUUCGUCAACUUGAUGUGAAGAACACCUUUCCCCAUGGGGUUCUCAAUGAAGAAACACGAAGCAACCACCGGGCUUUGAGCACACACCAUUUCCUCAUCAUGUUUGCAAGCUCCGGAGAGUUAUUUAUAGUCUUAAACAGGCACCUCGUGCAUGGUUUCAGCAAUUCACAUCUUUCUUAUCUGACCAUGGGUUAAUUGGGAGCACUGACGAUCCCUCCAUGUUUGUCUCCUACAGGACUGACGACAUCCUUAUUUUAUCAUUGUAUGUUGAUGAUAUUAUUAUGAUAGAUAGCUCAACGUCUUUACUGAUGUCUUUCAUCUCCACUCUCCAAUCUAAGUUUGCUUAGAAAGACUUGGGCUCUCUCCACUAUUUCCUUAGGGUGAAAGUUUCAGGCUUUAAUAAUAGCUUGUUGCUAACACAAGAGAAAUAUGCUCAUCAGGUACUUGAGCAUCAUUAUAUGCUUUCUUUCAAGCCUAUUUCCACGCCACUUUCAUUGACAACUCAUCUCUCUAUUAAUGAGGGUCGUUUUCUCGGUGAUCCCAAUACAUAUCGGCAGAUAGUUGGGCCCUUACAGUACCUUAUCUUCACUCAGUCUGAUACCUCAUAUGUUGUCUAGUUGUACAAUUUCUGCAUGCACCUCGUGACACUCAUCUACAAGUAGUAAAAGAAUUAUUUGUGAUAUUCAUGGGACUCUUUCUUAUGGACUUCAUUUUCUCGAUGCGUCAAUCCUUCUCUUAUUGCAUAUUCAGAUGCUCAUUGUGCGGGAUGUCCUAAUGCUCGACGCUCUACCUUCGAUUAUUGUGUUUUUCUUGGCUCAAACGACAUUUUGUGGUCUACUAAGAAGCAACCCACUAUAUAUCACUCAAGCUCCAAAGCUGAAUAUCACUCUGUUUCCUUUACCCUCGCUAAGACUGUCUGGAUUUAUCGACUCCAUGAUCUUGGUGUGCCACUAAAGUGACUGGUUACUAUCUAUUGUGACAGGCUUAGUACCAUAUAUCUUACCGUCGAUCCAAUGUUACAUGUACGCCAAGCAUAUCGAACUUGAUCAUCACUUUCCUCACGAGAAAGUGCAGAUGAGUGAUCUCUCUUUGAUUCAUAUAUCAUUGGGUACGCAGCUUGCUGACAUAUUCAAUAAAUUACUCUACACUUCUCGUUUUUGUGCUCUUCGUACCAAUCUUCACAUCUAAUCUCGAGAUGCUCAAAUUGUAUGGGGAUGUUAGAGUAAUUAGUGCAUACGCAUUUGGAAUGAUUGAAAUUAGUAUAAUAUAAGUCAAUAUUUAUAUUUAUUACUAUUUUAUCAUUAAUCCAGUUGCAUGACAACUAGCUUGUACCUCGUAUACACCUAUACCUAUUAUAUCUAAUACAAAACUCUAUAGGGUUGUGUGGUGGGUUUUACCGAACCUUUCAGAAACACACUCAGAGUCGAGUUGUACUUGUUAGCCAUAGCUUCGACAACAGCUGUUUUUCUAAAUUACCACAAAAAUGUGUAUAUCAUGUUUAUUAGCAUUAAUAUUGAAAAUAAACGUCAAACUAUUCAUUUUGAAUUGAGAUAGCAAUGAGCAUAUACUUAAGGGCUUUUUUUGCAUUUAGCCCCCUGGCAAAUUUUUAUUUUAAAAAUAACCCUGUCAAAAUUUAAUUUGCAAAAAUGGCCCUAGGCCAGCCACGCCGGCGCCACGUCAGCGCCACGCGGGCGGGGCUGGGGGCGGUAGUUAAGUUAAACACGGUGAACAAUUCACCGUGUCUAAACACGGUGAAUGGUUCACCAUGUUUACUACGUAUUUUUUGUAUAUUGAAAAGAGGAAUAGGGAAUUUGUAUUUCUUUUCUUCUCUUUUUCAAAAAUCCGAACCCGAACCCGAAAAUCAAAUUAAAAUCCAAACCCGGAUCCGAACCCGACGGAUUUUAAAAAUUCAUACCCAUAUCCAUAUCCGACCAAAAACUCGAAACCCGAACCUGAAUCCAGCAGAUUUUAAAAUCUAUAUCGUUGGAUGAAGAUCUAAGAAAUAAAAAUUAUUAAAUAUUUUAUAUAUUGUAUAAAUAAAUAAAAAUAAAUUAUGUAUAUAUAUAUAAUUUAUUCGUGUUUGGAUUCGGAUAAUAUUUCGGAUAUCCAUACCUAUUGACAUCCCUACUCCCUAUUCCUCUUUUCAAUAUACAAAAAAUACGCACUAAACACGGUGAACCAUUCACCGUGUUUGAACACGGUGAAUGGUUCACCGUGUUCAACUUAACACGCGGGCCGCGGCCCUGCCCGCGUGGCGCUGACGUGGCGCCUGCGUGGCAGGCCUAGGGCUAUUUUUGCAAAUUAAAUUUUAACAGCGCUAAUUUUAAAAUAAAAAUUUGUCAAGGGGCUAAAUGCAAAAAAAGCCCUAUACUUAAAUAAAAUGGACAUGCAAUUUUGUGUAUAGGUGCAUAUUUAGGAGGACCUUCUAUGCUAAUAUCCUUUUAAUCUCAAGUUAUAACCAGGCUAUGUAGCUAAGCAAGAAAGCAAAUAGAAAAUCUUAGAUAACAAGAAAAAGAAGCAGAAAAAAGCAAUAAUUAAAAUGGAUUCUUCACAUCCUAGAAUAAGACUCAAACAAAUAAAAAAGUGAGCUUUGGAAGAAUGUAUAUUAAGAUCCAAUUAAAUGUCAAUAAUCACCAAUCGUCAUUGAAAUAUUUUAACUUCGUUAAAAUAAAAAGCAAAAUGUAAUUCAAGGCCAACGAACCUUUGAGCAUGUCCCAAGUUCACUAGCUUCAUUUUGACCUGCACAUUAAGCUUGUUGAUUAUACCGCAUGCAUAGAGACUAUCGAGAAACAACAUAUCUUAUAAAGAUAAGUCCUUAAGUGUAUGACUAAUUACUGGAAAUAAUAGUGUCUCUAUCAACAAAGGAGCAUAAAAACUAGAAAUGUGUGUUGAUACACAUCUAUGUAGAUUGCCUAAUAGAUAUAUGAAUUAAUUUCAUACAGGUCCCUGCAAAUAUAGUGAAUUGCAAAUAUAUCCCUACAAAAUUCAACUUUCAUAUGUUGUCCUUACAAAAGUCCUAAUAUUUUCAAAUAUAUCCUUGCCGUUAUGAUCCGGUAGAAAAAAUUAGUUAACCAUAGGUAAGAUACUUAACUCUAGUUAGUUAAUGAGGUGAAUUGACCUUUUUACCCCUCUUCAAUUAACAGUUGGGACUUUUAGAGGGACAUAUUUGUGAUAACAAAAAAGUUAUUUCACUUAUCAAAUAAAUAGUUCUUUAACCGUAACAAACCAGAGGGACAUAUUUAAAAACAUUAGAACUUUUGGAGGGACAACAUAUGAAAGUUGAACUUUGUAGGGAUAUAUUUGCAAUUUACUAUGUUUGCAGGGACCUAUAUGAAAUUAACACAUAAUAUAUAAUUGAAGGUCAGAGUAAUUACAUGUCACUCCAGAAUUUUUCUAAAACUGAAGAAGCUUCAGCAAAACUAGAAGAGGCCUCAGCAAAACUAAAAAGCCUGAAAUUACUAUGCCUGGUUUGACAAAUCUCAAUGGCAGCAUAAAGAAUAAUGUCAAUAUGCAUAGGAAAACAAUCUUUCGUGUCAGAUAAAUAAUCUUGCUUAUCUAAAGAGCCAGCAUGACAAAGAUGUCUUCAGUAAUUAUUGUAAAACUCUUCCAUAUUAAGUUGAUUGUACAUAUAUAGAUACCAUCAUGUAUGAUACAACAGUGCAAAUCUGCAUUAUUCUUACAUGACAUCACCUUGGGAUCCUGCAUAGCUAAUUUAGUCCUCUCUCGAAUGCGUUGAAGAGUUUCUGCACGCAAUUCGUUAUAAAGUUGAUCGGUUAACGGAAGUUUAAAAUUUACGCAAUGAGAACAGGCUAUCUUUACAAAACUAACCUUGACUAUGUUUUCUGCCUUUGUUCCACGGUACAUUCCCCUUAUUUGCUUUCGAGAUUCUCAUUCGUCUCAACUUUUCUCUAUUAUCUAUUUCAGAAAACUCUUCAUGUGAAAAUUGAGAUACUUGACACACACCAUAUUCCAAAGUGGUAGUGCACAUCUCAUCAUCCGGGGUGGGAACUGACUUAGGUUCAACAGUAGCAACUGCCUUGAUAAGAUGUUCAUCCUUCUUAUCAAUAGACAACCCUCCAAACGUUGACCUUUUGGGGAUUUGAAUGUGAUUUUUCCAUCCAAAUCCUAUUUGCUUAUUCCAUAUAAAAGGAAGUCCGUGCGCAAUCUUCCUAUAGCUUAGCAAUUGACUAUUUCUUGCACUCAUGUAGUUCGCAAAGGAAGAUUUUGAAGUGAAAAUAUCUGCAUAACAGUUAUAUGAUACAAAUAAAUUUAGACAAACAGAUGCUUAGAGAAGAAAUAGAAAAAAAAUAAAUAAACAAAAUAAAAGACAACAGCAAAAUCUAUCAUAAGAACUUGUCUAAAUUGAUGUUUUCUGGGCUUAAAUAACAUCAAAGAUUUGUCAACAAAAUAAGGUACUAAAAAGCAACUAAAUUUGUAAUUUCUUUAAAGAAUUUGCUUGAAUUGUAACCUUUUCAAAUUAAAAUGAUUAUGUACAAAGAACUUAAAUGAUAGCCAAACCACAAAAGUUCCUAUCUCACAACAGAUGUUUUGAAUUACACCAAGAAAAAUGGUAACCACAAAGUACAUGAAAGUUGACAAAUUUGCACUUUUAAAGUACUUCAAUAAGCUCAAUUUGUAUCUUCCUGUCAAGCUCCAGAGCUCUUUUAUAAACCUUUUAUAGAAAAAAUAGGGGAAAACGUGUACUUUUUCUUUUAAAACAAAGCCAAAGAUGGAGCAUGUACAGACCUGCUACAUGGACAGAGUCUCUCCUGUACAAACAGACAGAGUCUUCCCUAUACACGCACGGCAUAGAAACCUAGAAUACAUCAUCAACCAAUGCAUCAAACACAAAGAUUAACAACAAUAACAACCGAUAGAUAAACAACUAAACAAAAGAUAGUAAGCGUACCAAACAAAUCGAUAGUUAAUUAUUUGAAGAUACUAAUACUGAAAGAAACAACCGAACUACUGAGGAACCUACAUCCACCAUUAUUAACAUGAAAUAGAGUUAAAUAACAUUAAUCUGAAACAUAAAAGCAAGACUAAACAUGAAAGAUAAACUAAAUCAUCAACAUCACGGCCUGGGACAUGUCUAUCUACUAGCACCCUCAUGCACUGUCCUGACCCUCACUCCAGUAUCACCUAUAAAAAACAGGGAGUGAGAAACAUGUACACAUUCUUCCCAUUGGGUAUCGCAAGCCGCCAAAAGUAAGCUAUACUCACCAGUAAACAAGAGAGAGAAUAUAAUUUGAAAGGUAUGAAUAAAUAAGACGAUACAAUAGCAAUAAGUAUAAUAGGAAAAGAAUACACAAAUAAAUAUCUAAACUAAUAUCGCUAUUGAGAUAAGAUAAAUAAUGUAUAUAUAUGUAUCAACCGGAUAAAAAGUCCAAUAUCCAAACACAAUCUAAAUACCAGUUUGUUGGUCUAAAAACCUCAGGCAAUGCCACAUUGUGCUCAGUCACAGGGCACAUAACCCCAUUGCAAAAUAUACUGCAUAGAGCUCACAGAUCGGAACAUGACCACUUCUCCCCAAAAAAAACCAUUACGGUGGCCGAACUGCUGGUGUACGUGAAAUGCUCUAUGAACAGCGGUGAUUGAUGUUGUAUGCUCAAUUGCCAAACCAUCGGCAAAUAGCCGAGAGAAAUUAAUAGAAUGUCCACCGACCAAUCAGACAAUGUCCCUAAAUCAUAAUGUGAUGUUGUAUGCUCAAUUGCCAAACCAUCAGCAAAUAGCCGAGAGAAAUCAAUAGAAUGCCCACCGACCAAUCAGAUCAAACAAUGUCACUAAUAAUGUGAUACCGACCUACCGGAUAAAUGGUCUACCGCUCUACAACUCAAAAGUAAUCUUAAUGGUAUAUAUCAAAUAAAGUAGAGCAAAUAAAAUAAAGAUUCCAUUGAUGCAAAAGAUGUACUCAAUAAGAAUCAUAGAGGAGAAUAAAGGGGAAAGGAAAGUAACAGAGUAGGCACCACUUUACCGACUUAAGAUUGUAGCACCCACCUCAAAACCAACAACGAGUCCGCGACUCGAAAGAUGCUCCUAAACGUCGCCCGGACCUUCGAAAGAUCUCACGGAGUCACAAUCAGCUCCACAACCCAAAACCAACACCAAAUUGACCCGAAGUCACUUUAAUCACUAAACGCUACAAUCAAACAAUCAGUUUCAUUUACCAAUUUUUGGAACCUGCUGCCGGAAUUCAUGAAAACUCACCAAAAACACUUUCGCAAUCCACAAAGUAUCCCAGAGGAUGCCAUCCAUCUUCUUAACCCAUCCACUACCCCGAAACAAACCAUUUUGGAUGUUCGAGCAACUACACGCGACGAAAAUGCUAAAUAGGUGUAGCUAAAAACAUGUUACAACGAGUUUCCGAAAGUGCCGAUUGGUUUCGGAACCAAGGAUAAAAGUACCGCCUCGUGCCGUACAUCGGAACCAAGGAUAAAGGGGUCGCCCCUUGCCGUACAGCACGAGGCGGAACGUACGGUACGAGGGGGUCUCGCAGGAUCCCCCUGUGUUGCCAUAUGCAAUGAGCAUCGUGCCGCGUUCUCUUUUUUUUGUUUUGAUUUGUUAGUUAGGAUUUUUUUUCUGGCUUUUUUAGUUGUGAUUUGUUAUUUAGGGUAUAAGAAUGGAUGAUAACUAAAUCACACUAUCUUAUCGCUAAUUUUUUAAAAAAAAAUUUAAUCCCUUCUCUCCCUUUGAUUUAGUUAUCUAAUGAUUAUAAUCUUCUCUAUUCUAAAAUCUAAUCUAAUCUAAUCUAGAAUUACCAUAUUUAAUCUAUAAAAUCUAGUCAAAUCUAAUAUAAUCUAGAAUCUAAUAUAACAUAUAUUUAAAUUUAUCUAUUCUAAUUUACAAGUAUGAAACCUAAUCAAAUCUAAUCUAGAAUUAUCUAUUAGAGUAUUAAAUUCUAAUCUAAUCUAGAAAUAUAAUAGAAUAUAACUAAUUAAAUUUGAUUUACGAAAUUGCAAAUUACCUAAAUUAAUAGUUUAAAAAUUCUAAUCUAAAACGACCUUAUUUAAUCUAAUAUUGAAUCUAAUCUAAUCUAUUGUGACGCCCCACUUCCCACGGGGUCACCCAUCCUAGGGCUACUCUAGUCCUAGCACGCUUAGCUCUUUUAACAUCUUAGGCCUAGCCACCGCCCAAAGUGCUACAGUCGAGUUAAGUGUUUUAGCUCUAUUAUAUCUUAUAUAUAGGACUACCUAGUGUCUCGCAUUCUCUCCCUCUUUAAGCCCUAAUGUCCUCGUUAGGCUCAAACUCACAAGUACCAGGCGACGAAAGACUCGUCUCGCUAGCCUUUAACUGACCUUGUGGGGUAGCCACGUGUUACUAAUAACAGUCAUCAACAUAAGAGCCUCGCUCUCCCACUGUAUAACCUGGCUCAGCCGAGACUCAUCUCACACUUCCGGCUAAUAAUUGGCUCUGAUACCAAUUGUGACGCCCCACUUCCCAGGAAUGGAAUUGUCAUUGGAAUAGGUUGUCUAUAACACCCCAAUAGCCCCACAUCAGAUAGGAAUAAGGUUAUCAUUGGGUAUAUAAGAGGAUUCCACCCUAGUAAUAAUAACCGGGCUUAAGCAUUUUGGGCCGGUGAUUUUGGCCCAAUGAAUUAUUAUUGCUAGUAGGUCGAAUCGUUACAUUUGGUAUCAGAGCCGGUUCACCAGCCGGAAGUGUGCAUACGUGAUUAAGCAAACAAACACCACAUUAGUGGGAUUAAGCAUGCAAAAUAGAAAAUUUCCUAACUAAUUAAGUAUAAUUUUCAUACUAAAAAUAUAAUAACAAUGACUGGGUUCACAAAAUAUUACAAAUCUCAUUUCGCAUAUUUUAUGAAAGAACUGAGAGAAACAAAAUGUUAACAAAAAUUAAUCUAAUUCCAAAAUUAGAAUUCGAAACAAAAGUUUCCAGUAACUAGCGACCCAUUGGCUAAGGUCCUAAGCACACAUUAGAGGCAUCCGAAGGGGCGAUCACAAAAUGAAAGCACCCAAAGAUAAAUAGCAUCAAGAGGCGCAUCACAAAAUUGCACUCGAAAGCGCGUUACAAAAUUUGCAUUUGAAAGUGCGUCACAAAAUUGCAUUCAGAGGUGCAUCACAAAAUCGAAACUAGCUUUUAUCACAAAAUUCAUGUCGACAUGGCCAAUAUUAUUAUAGCAAUAUACCCAGAGACAUCAUGACUUCAAAAUUAUUUACCCAAAUUUAGAAGGAAACAGAUUAUCAAAUACUAAAAUUUAAUCAAAUAAGCACAAUUUCUAAAGCACAUAUUUUAAAUAAAAUUGUACACUUUUUAGAAAUUUUUUUCUUUCAACAAUUCGUAAUUUAUAUAAGCACGCCUAACCCUUAUUUUAAAAAAUAAUACAAAAAGGAGGUACUGUUAUUGUACCAUAUUUUUAUAAUUUUGCCAAAAAUAAACUAACAGCUGCUAGGUUGCUUACCUUUGCUUACCUUUAAGUAAUCUAAGAAUCUUUCUGUCAAAUGCUAAGUAUCAAUUUUAAUCAACGAACCUUUUUUAAAGACAAUGAAGGAAACAACGGUGAAUGAGGUGUCACCGAACACAAUCCAAAAGCGUCGAGAGCGAUCAAGUAUAAUGGCAACGCCAAAGGACGAGGAACGAAACCGACGUGUAUGCGCACGCAUGAGAGAUAGAGAGAAAGCACAGAUUUGCUGGGGAGAGGGAGAAAGAGAGGAGGAAACAUACUAGAGAAAGAGAGAGAGAGACUAAAUAUUACAUAAUCCUUAGGACUAAAGCCCUUUUUUGAACAUAAAUCCCUAAGGUUUAUAAAUUUUGCAACAUAGUCCAAUUCUGUAAACAAACAAAUAAAUAAGAUAAAUAGAGAUAUGGGUAUUACAGUGCGCCAAGUAAACUUGAUGACAUAUAAGGAUGAAAAACAUAAGUGAAAACAAGGAAGAACAAUUAGAUGAUGAUCAUUGUGAAACCGAGGAACCCGACCUAAAAACAAAUUAAUAGAAUAUGACGCCUAUAAUGCAGUUGAAAGGAAAGCAUUCGUCAUGCAUAAGAUUUAAUCCUAUCGUCCCAAAUGAUAACAAAUGUCAUAGGCAUAAUCUUUUUCGAACAACUUGUGCAUCUAGUGGACGAUUGUGUAAAUUGAUAAUAGAUAGUGGAAGCACUGAAAACUUCGUGGAAAGAAAUGGUCGAUGAACUAGGCUUGAUAAUUAAAAGGAUAUAAAGUCCAAACAAGAUGGUUUAAGGAUGGUGGAUAGGUCCUAGUUGACCAUAUGUGCUUAGUUAAAUUUUCUAUGGGAAAGUAGUUUGCCACAUCCUGUUAGGCCGGCCCUAGCAAUUUGAUAGGAAAACCAUUCAUGAUGGGGAAAAGAACACAUAUACGUUUACAAAGGAAGGACAAGUUCAAAAUCACAGUGCACCCAGAAAGAAAGACACCAAAUACCAGUAGAGAGGAUCAUUCCAUAAACCAUAAGAGUGGUGGAAGAGAAUGAGUAAUGACUCUUAGUGAAAAGCAAUUUCAAGAGGACCUAGAGGAGUCGCCCAUAGUUUACGUGAUAAGCAAGGAAGUCUUUAAGGCUAGUGCGAUUCCAAGGAAGUUCAACCAUUGAUCUCUAAAUUUUCUGACAUCACUCUAGAAGAACUUCCUAAUGGAUUGCCACCAAUAAGGGACAUCCAUGAUCCAACAUUGCAUAGAUUUAGUUCUGUACACUAAUCUUCCCCACUUGCGCCAUUAUGGAAUGAGUCUUUUUGAGUACGAGGAGCUACAUCGACAAAGCGACAGAUUUAUUAAAGAAAGGUUACAUUAGAGAGCGUCUUACUCCGUUUGCGGCACUACUCAACAAAGAAAGAUGGAUCUCGACAAAAGUGCAUCCACUGUCACGCAAUUAACAAAAUAACCAUUUAAGUAAAGGUUUCCCAUUCAUCGGCUUGGCGACAUGAUAGGUAUGCUUAGUGGUGCAAAAGUCCUUUAAAAACUAAUCUCGGGAGUGGAUACCAUCAGAUUAGGAUAAGACUUGGGGAUGAAUGGAAAACAGCCUUUAAGACAUGUGAGGUAAUGUAUGAAUGAUUGGUUAUACCAUUUGGUCUAUCAAAUGCAAAAAGCACUUUCAUGAGAGUGGUGAACCAAGUGCUUCGCCUUUUUAUAGAAAAAUAUUUUGUUAUCUAUUUUGAUGAUAUCCUAAUAUAUAGUUCUUGCCCCAAAAGCCAUUCAGAACACUUAAAGAAAUUUUGCAAACCUUGAAAUACAAUCAUCUUUUUGUCAAUAUGAAGAAAUGCACCUUCCUCACUAAUAACCUAGCUUUUCUUAGAUACAUUGUAUCGUCCAAAGGACUAGAAGUAGAACCCUUUUAAAGUAGAUGUCAUCCAAAACUAGCCAACUUUGACUAUGGUUAGUUUAAGUUACGAGUUUUCAUGGCCUAGCUUCCUUCUACCGUCAAGGGAGAACAUGUUCAACAAAAGGGAUCUUGUUAUGGUCAUACUUCCAAAAGGAAAGAUUUCCAGUUGGCGGGCAUAGCAAAGUAAGCCGGAGGAAUUUUAGUCCUUACCGCAUCAUCAAAAGAUUAGGGCCUAAUGCCUACCUAGUCAAACUUCCAGCUAGCAUGACAAUUUGGCUAGUAUUCAAUGUAGCCAACUUAUACAAAUUCCAUGGAGAUCCAUAUAUAGCACAUGAAACAGAUGCAUUGCCUUUUCAAGACACGAGCAAAAGUACCAAAGACCAGAUUGAGGACAUCAUGGAUGUGCGUGAAACUACCACACGUCGAGUGACUCGAGAUUCCUUUUUAAGUGGGAAGGACAGCCAUCAUCAGGUUAUAGCUGGCCGGAAGAAGUUGAACUUCGGAGUCUUCUCAACGACUUGUAUGAGAACUACAUCGAAUCUAUCUCCACAGGGUCGAGAUCUCUCCACCACGGAGGAAAUGAUGCGGGCAUCAACUAGCUUUUAUUAGUGGUAAGUUUCUUAAUAAACUUCAGCCAUAUGUUUUAAUUGGACAAGUUGAGGUUAACCCAACAUAAAACACAUCUAAACUAAACCCUUCCUAGACCACAUUUUAAUUGGCUCAUUCUUUUCUUCUCCACUUGAGCCUAUAUCGAACAUUCUCUCUCUUAUGACUGCUGCCAUUAUCUUUGGACGUCUCAUUAUGAGUUGAUAGCUGAAACACCGGCUUCCACUACCUCUUUGAAAGAUGCUUUGGCCUCCCUAUUCGCUGCCCCUGUCGUAUAGAGCAGUAAAUUACGGCUAAAGCAAUUUGUUGCUGAUUUGCUGUUGAAAGUUGAUCCAAAACAAGAAGGAAAUGGAGUUACAAGCAACUAAAAGGAACUAUGAUGCUUUCCAUGGUAUUUCAACAUAUCCAAGUAUCUUGAAUUUCUAAAUGAGAUUACAACUGAUGCUACAUUAGCACGUUUGGUUUAACGCAGUAUAUAUUGCUAGAUUGCAAUAUUUAAAGCAUUACUAUGUUUGGUUCAGUCUAUAAAAUUUAGUAAUCCUGACAGAAAAGUAGUCUUUUCCAAAACUACCCUUGGGGUCAUUUGAAUAUUAUAUUUUACUAAAAUAUAAGUAAAUAUAAUUUGCACUUGUAAAUUAAUUAUAUUAAUACGUAGUAAAAUAAAGAGACCAAACAUGAAAAUAAAAAUUAUGUUGCAAAAAAUUAAUUUCAACCCAUAAAAGAAUAAAUAGAAAAAAGACCAUUAUACAUAAUCAAAAAUCAUACAAUAACAAAUAAAUUUCAAUUUAGAAACUCAUCUAUAAACAAAAUCAUUAACCAAACAUCACAUAAAGGCACAUUAGCAGCAUAAUAUCAAAAAUAUUUCUCAUGUUUAAGACCAAACAGUACUAUUACCAAGUUAAGAAAUUAACAAAGCACCAUCUAGAAUAAAUAUUUCAUAGAGUCGAAACUUCCACACACAUCACAAUACCAUCCAAAAGUGGAAGCUUAAACACUUACAUUAUAAAAGUUUAUAAGUUCUUGCACUAAAAAAAGGCGAGCCAAAAAUGUCUAAACCCAACUAGUCCAACUCUAAUAACACAAUUUCUUCAAUCACGUCCACCUACGAUACGGAAAAUGUAUUGCUUUCUGUAAUGAUCGAGCAUGCAGUAAAAUGUAUGUAAUUUUGUAGAAUUGCCCUUUAGGAUUUCAGUGGCAUCCAUUAUUUGUCUGUCCUCAAGUCCCUCGAUCUUUAGUAUCUCUUCAAACAACUCCUUUUUGGUCUCAUUAUUUGCCAUGAAUUGAAAGCAAUUAGCAAGCCGACCUAAGUGCUCAUUGGCAUCGUUAAAUGAAGUUUCAAGCGUACACAAGGUUGAACAAAAUUGUUCAUUGAUUGAAUCCUCUCCAAGUAGUGACUUUUGCUUCUUUAAUUUUGCCGAUGUGCCACCAUUCAAAGUGUUUACUCGAGCACUACUUUGUUCCAUAAAAAACAUCUCGACAUCAGGAACUUGGGUGGAUGCAUGUGUCAUUAACUCUUCCUCUUCGACGUUCCUUGCAGCAUCAGCAGUAGAUUCUGCACCAGCACUAGUUGUACGAUCUUUUCCAAAUCUAAUCUCACCUAUUGGGACUCAUACCUUGGGGAACCUUCAAUCCAUUUGGUCUUGAUAUUGCAUCUCGAAGCACCCUAGAGUCUACCGCAGAACCCUCCCACCCAGGUAAGAUACACAUAAAUUGCAUGUCUUGUGUACAUACCCCUAGAACAUUAGUGGUAAUAUUCUUAUCCCGGUCUCGGUACCUAGCCUUAUCAAUUUCUGAAACAUGGACCUUAAUAUGAGUCCCAUCCAGUGCACCCAAAUAAUUCUGCAAAUCAGGUGUACAUAUGAUAAAUUUAUGGUUGGUUUGACAAAAAAGGGCCGUUCAAAAAAGUGAACGCAAGGAUAAAAGUUUGCCUACCUUGAACCAUUUCCACCUCUCAUCACUCGAGUUUUCAGGGCCACGUUCAGGCUCCCUUAACAAAACGUCAUGACAACGUAAGAUGGUGGCUAAGACUUUACCAAAUUGUCUACUUAUUGUCUCUCCUGAUCUAACAAAUUGCCUUUUAAUUAUCCUAUUUUUAACAUCAUGUAUAACAAUAUGUAAGAACAUAGAAACCAUCUCCUCUCUUGCAAUCUCCCUCUUGUUGAAAGUAGAUCAUAAAGGGAGUGAAAUGUGUUACAAUCCGUACAUGUUCUUUCAUAACAUGCAAGAUCACUAUCAUAAAUUAUUCUCCUAAUGUGCACAUAUUUUAUAAAACGCUUUUCCAUUGCUUGCCUUCCUCCCCAACGGUGCUUAUUGUGCUGUCUAAAAUUAUAUAGAGUUUGAAGUAAUUUUACAACGCAAAGAAGCCUUUGCAUAUGGAUGAAUGUGGCAAUAAUGCACGCUAACAUCAGGACAAAUUCAGGGGAAGUUGGAUCCAUCUUGAUCUAUACUAAAUUAUGACAAGUGGAAUACGCAUAUAAGUCAACAAGCGCUUAUCAAUAGAUAUAGAGCAAACCCAACAAAUAUAGCAAAGUUAUAAACAACUAACAAUAUAUGCAUAUACAUACAUUUCAAAAAAUGAAUAAAUGUAUGCUCUAUAGGUGGAUAAUCUAGCAUAUAAGUCAACUGCCAUUUUCUUUUAUUAAUCAAAUUUUGCUAUUUAUUAUUUGAAUUGAAACUGGACUCAAUGAAACUAGUCCAAUUGAACUCCCUAAAUAGAUAAUCUGCUGUUCUUUUACAUCAACACACUAUAUCAAUUUUAGGGCAUCAAAAAUCAAAAAUCGAAGAGAGAAAAUAUAAAUAAAAAACUAAAACAAAAAUUAAAUGAUAAAAAAUUAAAUAAAAAAUUAUCAUUUACACAUAAAAAAUUAAACUAGGGUUUUUAGGCCAACACAUGAUUAAUUAGGGCAUAAAAAAAUAUAUAAAUUGUUCCCUAACAUUUCCAAAUCAGAUCCGGGAAAAGGGAGACAGAAAAAAAACGAGAUCCAAAACUAGAUUAAUAAGAAUCAAAAAUACCAAAGUGCUUGUUAAGCAUGUCCUGUAGAAAGAUUGCAACUAAAUGAAACAAGACAUGGCUUCAGAUCUGACGAAGUAUUGCAACAGAUCUGUAAUAAACAUGUGAGAAAGAGGCAUAAAAACUCCUUAAAUCGACGAAAAAUGAAAAAAAAAAACAAUUCUCCAAAUCGGAUCUAACUUCAGUUCAUUUCGAAAAGAAUGGGUUUUAGCGACAGAGAAGAAGUGUUUAAAUAUUUAUGCGAAAAUGGCGAAUGGAGGGAAGGAGAUCGCGAAGAUUACCUGGGACGACGGAGCAAUAGAAGGGGAUAGGUGUUCGUGCGAGAGAGAGAGACAGCGUCCUGCGUGCGCGCGCGCGAGAGGGAGAUGGAAACGAUGCGGUUGAUAGGGUACGGCGGGUGUUGCAGGGUAAAAUUGUCAUUUUAUGACAUAAUAGAUAACAUUAUCAGCCUCCAGUCAACUAAGGUACACACCAGUUUGAUAAUAUUUUAUGUUGAAUCUUAGGGCGUGUUUGAUGCGCUUCUUUUUCAUCCCCAAAUCAAAAUUGAAACGAGUAAAUUCGUUUGUGAGUGUUUGAUAUGCAUGGAUCUCAUUCCGAUUUCGAUUUCCGAGUGGAAUGGAAAUUCUCUAAUCACCUUUUUUUCGAAGUUGAAUCCAGACGGAAUGGAUAUUUAUUCGAAUUAAAUUUAUUUUUUCAACUUUUUUAAUUAAAAUUUAAAUUUAAAUUUAGAAAUUAAAAUUUAUAAUUUUAAAUUUUAAUUUUAAUUUGAAUUAAAAAUUAAAAUUUAAUUAAGUACUUUGAAUUUAACUUAUAAAUUUGAAUUUAAAUUAAAUUUUAAUUUAUAUAAAGUUUUAUUUAAAUUUUAUUUAAAACUUAAAUUAAAUUUAUGGAUUCAAAUUAAAAUUUAAAUUAUAAUUUUAAGUUUAAAUUUGAAUAAAUCGAAAUUUAGUUUUAUAUUUUGAAUUAUCCACUUAACUUCAAAGUUUAAUUUUUUAAAAAUAUAUAUAUUUAAAAUUUUGACAUUAUUUCAAAAUUUUGAUAUAAAUUUUUAAUAUUUAAUUUUCAAUUUGAAUUUAAAUUAAUAUAUUAUAAAGAUAAUGUUAGUAUAUUAAUUUGAUUACGCUUUUUUUAUCUACGUGAACCAAACACCGACAAUAUGAAUGAUUUAUUUCGAUUCCAAUUCAGGUAACGAACCAAACAGAAUUAGGUAAUGAGUCAUUCUGAUUCCGAUUCUAGCUUAUUUCGAUUCCGAUUCUGAUUUCCGUUCCAACUUCGAACCAAACGCACCCUAAACAUCUUUUGUAAUACUGUAAUAUCGAGCAGAUUAUAUACCAUAUGAAUCAAACACAGCAAUCAUGGCAUGAUUGUUUGUAAUACUGCCAAGAUAACACAAACCAAACAUACCUUUUUUAAAGGCGUGUUUGGUUCGUGUUAUAUAGCAUUACAAGAUAUUUCAACAUAACUAGGUAUAUGAGAUUUCUGAAUUAAAUUACUACUGAUCUUACAUUAUCACGUUUGGUUUAAUACAGUAAUACAAUGCUACAUUAUAAUAUGUAUGGAAUUAUAAUAUUUGGUUCAUUUUAUAAAAUUUAAUAAUCCUGACAAUAAAAUAUACCCACAAUCGCCCUUAUGUUAUAUUUGACAAAAUGUAAAACUUAAAAUAUAAAUGUGAAAUUUAAAAAUUUAAAAAUUUAUAAUUUAUAAUUUAAAAUUUGAAAUUUAAAAUUUGAAAUAUAAAUUUAAAAUCUAAAUUUAGAAUUUAAAAUUUAAAAUAUAAAUUUGAAAUUUAAAAUUUAAAAUUCAACAUUUAAAAUUUAAAAUUUUGAAAAUUGAUUAAAAUUUUAAAUUUUUAAAUUUAGAAUGUGAAAUUUAAAAUUUGAAAUUUAAAUUUACAAUUUGGCAAUUCAAAAUUUUAAAUAAAAUUUUAAAAAUGACAUAUACAAAGAGUUUGGGAGAGGGGUUGGGGAAGUAAAGUUGUAACUUAACAUAACAUGCAAAAUUACUCGCCAUCAUUAAUACAAGAUACUCACCCCCCUGCUCGGUAAUAUUUUUGAUGUAAUCCUGCACCAUUUGUAAUACUACAUUACCGACCAGAUUAUAGACUAGAAAAAUCAAAUGUAGUAAUCCUGAUAGGAUUGUCUGUUAUCCUAGCAAGAAAGCCUGAACCAAACAUACCGUAAAAAAUUUUGCAAACCUUGAAAUGCAAUCAUCUUGUUGUCAAUACGAAGAAAUGCACCAUCCUCACUAAUAACUCAGUUUUUCUUAGAUACAUGGUAUCAUCCGAAGGACUAAAAAUAGGACCCUUUUAAAGUAGAUGUCAUCCAAAACUAGCCAACUUCGACUAUAGUUAGUUUAAAUUACGAGUUUUCAUAGCCUAGCUUCCUUCUACCAUAAAAGGAAGAAUGUGUUCAACAAAAAGGAUCUUGUUAUGGUCUUACUUCCAAAAUAAAAGAUUUUCAGUUGGUGCGCAUAGCAUAGUAAGCCAGAGGAAUUUUGGUCCUUAUCGCAUCAUCAAAAGAUUGGGGCCUAAUGCCUAACUAGUCAAACUUCCAUAUAGCGUGUCAAUUUCACCGGUAUUCAAUGUAGCCAAUUUAUACAAAUUCCAUGAAGAUCCACAUAUAGUACAUGAAACAAAUGCAUUGCCUUAUCAAGACGUAAGCAAAAGUACCAAAGACCAUAUUGACAUCUGUAAGGACUGAGAUUUUGAUAGUGCAAUUAGACUCACUGUUGAUGAUGUUUAUGUGUGUAAUUUAAUUACAUAAGCAUUCGUCAAGUUUCAGGAGAAAAUGAGUUAGAACGGAGAAGUUACGCGAUUAUUAGUUUUCACUUAAGUGAAUAGUAACUCCGGUUUUCCGGAGAAGCCACGGAGCAGAGUUGGCUUUCGGCGCGUAUCGGACUCCGUUCAUAGCGAUCCAAUAGCUCGUUUCGACCGGUUCAGCUGUUCUGGAACUACUGGCGUUGACGGAUUUUGAGUUUGACGCACGGAUUUCGAGAAAAUCCAAAAAUACGUGUUUUAUAUGUAUUUUGUGCGUAGUUUCUUCUGUUGGAGAGAGGAACGGAUUUCGUUGCGAAUCCGUGAUCAUUCGAGGUGAUCCAAAAUAGUAGCUUUGUUGUCUCUGAGGUGCUGAUCGUACUGGUGCGAUCCGUUCGCAAAUCUGACGGACGGAUCUGCGGAGAUCGCACGUUGAUCGAGGAGAGGUCGGUGUUGGUAAAACGAUAUUUUCGCAAAAGUCGCGACAUUUUAUGUACCGUUUCGCGUGAAAUCGCACGUGGAGGGGUAUUCAUGCGUUUUACUUGUGCUGUGAGGGACUAGGAAUAAAUUGUUGAGUCUUGGUGAACUUUUUCGCAAAGUUUCUCCUUGGUAUAGAUUCAUUCUAGGGUUUUCUUGGAACCCUAACCCUACUAGCCAGUUCCAGCAAACCCUAGCCGCCCCCUUGCUUCCCUUGCCCUAGCCGCUCGCCUUCCGGUCGCUACCGACCAAGUCCGGCCGGCCGCCGCCGCCGCAGCACCACAUUCCUCCCUCCCCAUCUCUCUCCAUCUCCUUUUUCUUCCGGGUUGGAGCUCGGGCCGAGGUUAUAUUGUCUCAAAGCACCUUGUCGAUGUCGCCCCGACCCCUCAGCGUCCCUCUCCGCCGAUCGCCGCCGCCCCGAGCCGCCCGGAGCGCCGCCGCUGCCGCUCCAGCCGCUGCUGUAUCCUGCAGCUUCCCAGCCCGAGCCCAGGCCGAGUCUAACCCGCGGCCUCCCCGCGCGCAGCCACCGCAUGAACCCGCUCCCGCCGCCGUCCCCGGAGUCUCGGUGGCCCUCCCCGCAGGUCGCCGGCGCCCCUGCGGGCCGCCACCGCCGCCUCGGCCAGCAGCAGCCGCCCCAGCCCGAGCUCGGGCUGAGGUCUCUGUGCGCCCUCUCCUCCGCGCCGCAGCCACCUGGGGUCGCUCCCGCGGCCGUCUCCUGUGUCCCACCGACCUUCCCGGCCGGUCGCCGCCGCCCUUCGGGCCGCCGCCGCCGCCCUGAACCCUGGGCGCCGCCGCCCAGGUCUGCAACCGAGCCUAGCUCGAGCGGCAGCGCUCGAGCCGUGGGCUGCCGCUGCUGCCGCCCGCCGCCUCCCUUCUCCUCCUCCGGCAUCUGGGGACCCGCCGCUGUCGUCCCCGACCUGUCCCGGCCAUCGCCGUCGCUGGGAGGAGCCGCUGGACCGUGCCCUAGCUUGUGCGGGCUCGGCUCGUUCCGCCGUCGCCGCCCCCACUCUCCGCCGCCAACCGAGGUGAGCAUCGUGUUCCUCACCUCCCCCGCACCCAUCUCUGGCCUGCGCGCACCUCGGCGUGCCGCCGGAAGCCGGCCGGAGCAACCUUGCUCCGGCCAAGCCCGAAAUAGGGCUUAAUUUGAAUGCUUUACUGUUCCGAGCAACCCGAGCCUCCCCGAUCUCUGCGGAAGGGAGCACGAUGAUCGUAGUAAAUUUCUGAUCAUCGUGCUCACCUUAUUUUCUGUCGGGGAGACUCCGUUCCGCUUUUUCGGCAUUGUCGACCCUGUAGAGCCUGUUUGGCUGCUGUUGCGGGUUUGCACACACUUUGGCGGUGAUCCGAGGCUGUCCCGAUGCCUCUGGAGGUGAGCACGGUGAUCGUGGAUCAGUGCUGAUCACAGUGCUCACCUUAUUUUGGAUCAGCGGAUGUCGUAUCGUUCUGUUUGGUGACUUUUUCCCCGACUACGCGCUGUUCGCAGAACCUUCGGGUUGCUCCCGCGCUUCCCACAGUGACCUGUUGCGCUCCAGACCGUGAGCACGGCCUCCGGCACGUCGAGACCUAUCAGUAUGUGUCUCAGCAGAACUUAGAAGUCCUCGGUUUGCGUGUACGGGCUAUGUUAUUGCCCGAUUUACAUAAAAUAUUGGGAUUUUAUGUAAAUUCAGGGGCUUUUGUGCAAUUGUGCGCCUUGGGGCUACUGUGGACAGUGUGUAGACAUGUGUGGUGUCCUCUGGACUGAUUGUCCAUGAUCCGUUAGCUUUUGCAGAAAUCGAAGAGUCGAUUUCGAUGCGUUUUUCGGCGAAAUUCGCCGAAAGAACGCGGUUUCGGUUCGGAUUUCUUCCGACGUCGUUUGGUUGCUCUGUGAGUGGUCAAUAAGCCUUGUUGGCUGGUCACCAUCAUCACCUUGUGGGUUCGGUGAUGACGGGUGAGCGACGGUGGGUUCCGGUGUCGAAUUUGACACUUCCGGGAACCCGUAUUCGUACAAUUAUCCGGCGAUAAUUGUGUCGUGGUGUUAUCUUAUGUUUGCUGCCAAAACAUCCAAAUUGGAGUGUUUUGUGGCAGCGGGUGACUUGUAGCAUGGGUCGGUGCGUUCCGGGACAUUUCAAUGGUCCUGACGGAGUCCCGGUGCGAUUUUCGGGACUUCCGGCAAGUUACGGUAGUCGGUUUUGAGAAACUGAUCUCCGUGGGUUUGUUAGAGGGAUUAUGAUGUAGUGUUUCUUAGUUGUGGGUUAGACACUAACCCAGUGGACCCUCCUUAGGUCCUGUUGACGUUCUUUUGCAGUCAGGAGACAGGCGCGACAGUUGUACAGGUGGGUACUUCGAUCCGACGUUGGUACAGUGGUGCACGCUCGGUGAUGGUUUCUUACCCUUGCUCUUUUGUUAUUAUCCAUGCGUAUAUUAUAUGUUGAGCUUUGCACCUCUAUCGUUUACAUUACACCCACGUUGUUUGAUUUUACUCUACUAAGACAUUUCCAUGCUUAGUAUCAUGUGUAGGAGUAUAGUCUAUCCGUAUGUGAUACCAUGUUUCCUUGUUGCUCUACUUAGCUAUUCUGCAUACCCUGAUUCGUGUUUAUAGUAGAGCGAUUUCGUGAUUAUCUAUGAGAUCAGCGAUCUAGUCGGUCGAUUCUAGUAUUCAGUAUUUAUGACCUAUUCGGUCGAGUUGCUACAGUUCUAUCUAUAUCUGUGAUUUGGUUGGGCGGUUCCCCUAUUUUGAUAUCUAUGACCUAUUCGGUCGAGUUGCUACAGUUCUAUCUAUGUCUGUGAUUUGGUUGGGCGGUUCCCCAUUUGAUAUCUAUAACCUAUUCGGUCGAGUUGCUAUAGUUCUAUCUUUACAUACGUAGCCGAUUAGUUGCUGAUGGCCUAUACGGUCGGUGUACCCUGAGGGGCUGGAUUGUCGGCUAGUUGCCGAUGGAUGAUCUUUGAGCAUACUACAUUGAUCGCCACUGCAGGUACGCAUUUCACGAACACCAGCGGUCUGAUCCACCGCAAGAGGGUGUUCUUUUCCGGAAAAGUGGUUGGAUUGCCAACCCGUGAGCCCGGGGGCUUUAUUGCGAGGGUAUAUGCUUCUGACCCAGGGGCUUCAUUGCGAGGGUCAGGUACAUGUUUCUGACCCAGGGGCUUCAUUGCGAGGGUCAGGAACAGGUUGAGCAGUGUGACAUGGGCCUGAGGUCCUCGGACCAAUAGGGCAGCGAGAUUGGGUAUUUUUGAGGUUAUCGUCAGUUGACGCAUGCAUACAGUAGCUGUAGUGUUUAUUUUCAGUACAUCCUUAUCUGUUUAUUGUAGCUACUGUUUUAUUUACCUGGAUCUAUACUUGUCAGCUCCUUACAUAUCUCUUUCGUUUACUAUUGUUCCUACUAUAUUUUCACUGACCCGUACUGUUGUUUAGCUAUUCCUGAUCUGGUGAGUACUCCUCGCCUUCAUCGGCUUGCGGUACCCACUGGGAGGGGAGACAUGUUUACAUGUUCUCCCCCCCCCCACCAUUUUUCAGGUAUCGCAGGCGAUGGGUAUUGAGACGAGACGUGAGGCACGUAUGUAGCGGUCGUUAGAUCUUCCGACCCAGGUUAUUCGGUUUAGCUUUUACCCUUAUUAUUUAUGUUGAUAUAGAGCUUAGUUGACUUAUAUGGUUCAGUAUUUUUAUUACAUUUGAACAUGUGGAUUUUCAUGAAUGUAAUAAAAGGAUUUUUGAAUUUUGUAAAAUCAAAGGUUUUCUACCCCUCGUGGUAGCGUUUUUUUAAAGAAUAAAGGUUUCCGUGUAGGGAACAGUUUUCAAAAGAAUUUUCGUGGAUUUCGGUUUAAACACUGAAUGUAAAACUGUGAUGUGAAUGGUGAACGUAUGAAUGUAUAGUUAUCUUUAUAUUCAUCUAGUUGUGGUUGUAUCCUGGUUGUACUUUUGUACUUGUGCGACGCCGUGCAAAUACAGGGGAGACUCUGUCCGUGUGAAUUAACAGUGGAUUCCCUGUAUUUGUGGCGGAUCUAGCAUACCCUGGGGUCAGGUUUGCAAAAAAAAAAAAAAAAAAAAUUCCGCUGUGUUUUUAAACUGAAAUGGACCCCGGGGCGUGACAACAUCAUGGACGUGCGUGUAACAACCACACGUCGAGUGACAUGAUAUUCUUUUUUAAGUGGGGAGGACAGCCAUUAUCAAAUUGUAGCUAGCUAGAAGAAGCUGAACUUCGAAGUCUUCUCAAUGACUUGUAUGAGAACUACAUAGAAUCUAUCUCCACAGGGUCGAGAUCUCUCCACCACGAAGGAAAUGAUGCGGGCAUCAACUAGCUUUCAUUAGUGGUAAGUCUCUUAAUAAACUUCAGUCAUAUGUUUUAAUUGGACAAGUUGAGGAUAACCCAACAUAAAACACACCUAAACUAAACCUUUCCUAGACCACAUUUUAAUUGGCUCAUUCUUUUCUUCUCCACCUGAGCCUAUAUCGAACAUUCUCUCUCUUAUGACUGCUGCGAUUAUUUUUGGACGUCUCAUUAUGAGUUGAUAGCUGAAACACCGGCUUCCACUACCUCUUUGAAAGAUGGUUUGGUCUCUCUGUUUGAUGCCCCUAUCGUAUAGAGCAGUAAUUAUGGUCUGAAGCAAUUUGUUGUUGAUUUGCUGUUGAAAGCUGAUCUAAAAUAAAAAGGAAAUAAAGUUGAGUUAUUAGUUAUGAUACCUUUUCUGAAAAAAGUACAAACCUAAUCCAAAGCUCUCCACUUCCAUUAGUGCCUAUCUAUAUCCACUUUGAAACCCCUCACUCAAACCUAAACCAUCAUCCUCCACUCAACAAACAUGAACACAAUAUAAUUAAAACUCUGGACUUAAGUUUGUUUGAGACUAGUUAGGAAGUUUUGAUUUGUUGCUUUGUUAUUGAAAUGUUACUUUAAUAAGUCAUGAUUUAAUUAAGUUUUUCUUUGGCCUUAUUUCCUGUUAGGAUUCAUCCGCAUUGGAACUUAUCAAAAAUAUUUCUAAUCCAUAUGGGAUAAGAAAUAAAUAUUGGUACUUAUCUGAGAUAUUUCUAGUCCACAUAGGAUAAGGAAUAAAUCUAACAAAUAAAUCCUAAUCUGUUUUAAUCUCUAUCUAUGAGAGAUUUAGUUAGAAUAUGAUUAGGAUUAAUGUCUCCCUUGUGUUUUAAUCUCUAUCUAUGAGAGAUUUAGUUAGAAUAUGAUUAGGAUUAAUGUCUCCCUUGUGGCCUAUAAAUACAUGAGAUAUUGACCACAUACAAGAUACGAAAAAAAAAAUUAGAAUCAUCUCUCUAUAAAAUUCUCUCUUGGGUUCGCUCUAGGGCACCAUCAAAAACCCUAGGGAUUUGCGCGGUGUGCUGCGUUCGUAUAACAUACCGAAAUAUAGGUGGAAUAUAUUGGACUUUAGCCAAAUUGGCCAAAGUGCCCGAAAGAAAUAGUUGCACAAGUUCCGUUAACAUUCCAACCGUGUUGGAAGGGCUAAAAAGGAGUUCUAAAAAUUAGGAAAGGUUUUAGCGAUAAUCAGAGCUAAAUAAAGUCAAAAAGACGCAAAAAAUAGAAAUCUGGAGCUUGUGUACCGGUACCAUGUGAUGGUUGUACCGGUACAACCAUCGCUUACCGAGGGAGAAAGCUCUCGGGUUUGAGCUGGAAAAAGGCUGUGUACCGGUGACAGGAUUUCGCAUACCGGUACGCAGUGUAAAAUCCGAGAAGAUGGCUCUCGGUUUUGGCUGUUGUGCGAGUCGUGUACCGGUGACACCAGCCCGUAUACCGGUACGCUGUAGACCUGACAGCAAAAAAUUAGUCUGCUGCAAAUAUGAAUGUUUGGGGGGUUUAUUUGCAAUUGUUACCUACUAACAAAUAACCCAAGCCCUCUCUCCCUGCAGCAGCUCACCCUCUCUCUCCCUCUCUCGUGUUCCCCUCUCUCUCUCAACCGUGGGAAGGGAAGGAAGGGAAAGAGAAGGAAAAAGAGAAUAGAAGAAAAGAAGAGAGAAGAAAGGAAUGAGAAGGAGAUCAAGAAGAUGAGCUCACCUUCAUCUUCAUCUUCCUCGUGCUUGGAGCAAGCUAGUGAGGUAAGUCUUUUACCUCCUCUCAUGGUAGGAUCAAGGUUAGGGUUUGGGUUUUAAACCCUAGAUCUAGAGAUUUAAAGCUUCUUGCAUGUUUAGAAGCCUCUUGAGGCCAAGAACAUCAUGAAACCCAUGGUCUUCUCAUGAUGCUCUAAUGGUGAAAUUCUAGGGCUAGCUCUAGGUGCCCUAGAAAUGGUUUGAAUGCUCCUAGUGGAACUCCUAGAUAUUAAACAAGCUCUCUUUUGCUUGUUUUGUAAAUCAAAUCCGGAAUAUUGAGCAUAAGUCAUGUUAGGGCAUCCCAAAGAGGGGUUUUGCUCAUAUGAGGUUUUGAUCUAUUUUGACCUCUUGGAAACCUAAUUGGGGACCAAACGAACGCGUUGGCGAAGUCGGUUUGACCAUUCGUCGAGUGUACGCGAAGUUAUUGACAAAAUAUUUUGUCGUACAGAUGGCCGCAGCACGCGGAAUAGACGCCUAAAAAUCAUGAGAUCGGAACCGGAGCACCUUGGAGUCAAGGAAUAAACUCCGGAAAAGACGGAUCGCGGUUCAGAGGUCGUUCGCUAGUCGCGCAAGAGUUCGGGCCAAACCGGGCAACGGUUGCCGCGGGAGGCCGAUUGCAAGUGACUACAAGCAAUCGGAGUGCAAGUCAAGGUGGGUUGUAUUUACCGAAGCGACUAGGUCGCUUGUAUAUCUAAGAUACAUAUUUAUCAUUGAUGCACGUAGUGGUUACUAGUGUUAGAACACAUGAAUGUUAUGUUAAGCUACCACAUUUUGUAUAUGGAUACAAUGUAAGAAUGCUAAGUAAAUGCUUAGAACGAUAUUAGCUAAAGACAUGAGAUAAAGGGUUAUUGCAUGUUAAUAUAAAGUAGAAAGCAUGCUAGUGAUAAUGCCUAAUGGCAAGUUGAGAAUGAUAAGUAAAGGACUUGUGUAUAUGGACAUAAAUGCACCUAUAGAUCGAGUGGCAUUGAACCUAGUGUCAAGAACAUAGGUCGAACAAAUGUGGCAUGAACCUAAUGUUAGUAAACAUAGGUUGGACAAGAGAAAUAAUGAACCUAGUGUUGAUGAACAUAGGUUAAAUAGGAAUGGCAUUAAACCUAAUGUUAGAGAACAUAGGUUGUGAGAUAAAGAUAACGAAUCUAAAAUCACAUGAACCUAGGUGGGCUAAGGUAAUGAACCUAGAGUUAAUAAACCUAGGCUAUGAGUAUGGAGGCAGCGAACAUAAAGUAUUAACUUAGGUUGAGUAAAGGCUUGGACCUAGAUAGGUCAAAUCUAUAGGGAUAAGACCAACCCUUAUGUGAUGUGAAAUGGAUUCCGGAAUCCCAAAGCUAAAUGGAUACACUGAGAGGGGUGUGGGGUGUGUGCGACGAUUUCGCCGCCCAGGGGCUAUAGAACCAUUGUCGUGGCGUGUGCGACGAUUUCGCCGCCGGAUGGUUAGCCGGUUAGUGGAUCAUACCGCCUGUUGACUGAACCAUCGACGUAGCGUGUGCGACGAUUUCGCCGCCGGGUGGCUAAGUCAAGACCUAGGCUGUUGUUGGGUGAGGUGCGAUGCGUUCGCCGCCAAACGGCUAGGACAGGAGUACGGUAGGCUGUGGUUACCUGAGGUGCAUGUAAGAGUUCCUUUACCUCGAACUAGACAGUGCGCGGACUAUCCGCGAUUGAUUGACUCAAGACCGAGUCGAGUGGCAUAGUUGGCUAAGUUAAAGUAACCUUAGAAAAGAACAGCAAAUGCUAAAGUAUAUCAACGAUCAAGAAUGUCAAAGAAUAAAGAAUCGCCAAUGAGUAUAAUGUAACAAGGAAAUAAUGUAAAGAAUAGCUAAUGAAUGAGAAUAGCUAAAUACGUAAAGAACGGUUACAUGUAAAGAAUGACUAAUAAUAUGUAGUAGAAUCAAGUAAACUACUUGCAUGAGUUACAGGUUUUGCAUAUCGCAUUUUGUGAGGCAUGUUAUCUGUUAGUUGCAUAAUAACAUGAUGAUAUAUAUAUAUAUAUAGAUGUUUUUGGACUAAUAUUGUCACGCCCCGAGACCGCUCCCAAUUUGGUCCGGUUCGGGCAUGCCGACAGACCGCCGAACGGACAGAGUUUCCCCUGUACGUCCUAGGCGUCGCAACAAGUACAAUACAAAGGUUCCAACCAGGAACAGUACUCAGCAAACAGAAUUGCAUCAGGAAGGUAUCAAUCAACAUAAACACAUCCUAUGAUAUUACAUCCAUUCAUUUUACAUCACAAUUCCAUUACAUUCAACUUCCAAUACAAUUGUUAUUACAACAUUUAUUGAUUAUAAUUUGAUACAUUUGCUUACUUUCAUUUUCUAUACCCCUAAGCUACGUCGACGGGGUACUGCUAGCUCUGGUCUCUGGGGGUAGGGCGCUAUCUAUGGAGCUACGCCCUUGCCUCGCGCCGCCGCGCCGCUCACGUGCGAACCUGUAAAACCCCAAAACAACGUGGGGUGAGAACCAACUCCAUAGUUCCCAGUGGGUACGGCUACCCAAGGGAGGAGCUCGACCAACAGGUCCAAGGGAGGCAAAUACAAGUUAGUCCAAUAAACAGAUAGAUAUGUAUAUCAUAAACAUGCAACUAACUUUACCUUACUUUGCCUCACAACAACAAUGAUGUCAUGCUAUAUGCAACAGGAAUAUAUGCAACAUGAAUAUAUUCAACAACUAGUAGAAUUGUUGAUUCUACAAUCGAUCUGGCUAACUCUAGUUCAUAUCAUCCAACUCUAAGGUUUCCACUACCUUAGGUUUAUCACAUUUACCACUAGCCCUCAAGGUUCUAUCUACCUUAUUCCAGCUAGCCACCCGACUCGGCCUCGAGUCAAUCAACAGCGGAUAAUCCGCGCUCUGCCCGGCUCGAGGUGAAGGAUCCUGUCGCAUGCACCUCAGCCUGCAAGCCAAGAACCACAUCGCCCAACGGUCCGCCCGAAGGUCCGUGCACCGUGGUCAGGGAUCCGUUAGUGGGAGAGGAAACAUAGCCGCGUACACCCAUAGCCAAGAUCCCCGAUAGGGAGAGGAACAUGCCGUACACCCUAGCGCUCUUUGUUCUUGCUUAGUCAUAAUCCUCAAAGUUCUUUCCGGUGGGAGAGGAACAUCGCCGCAUACACCCGCGGUCCAAGAACUAUUGAGUUCACAAGUACUGGGAUUCCGGAAUCGACUUCACAAGUCAAGGGUCCAUAUCCAACCCUAUACUAUUGACCUAUCUAGGUCCAAUGCACUUUCCACCCUAGGUCCAACUGACUCUAGGUCUAAUGCCUCAAUUUCACAACCUAGGUUUACCUUAACUCUAGGUUCAGUUCUCAACCUAUGUUCUUUAACACUAGGUUAGAUGCCACACACCUAGAUCCCGACUCUAGGUUCAUACUCAACCUAUGUUCUUUAACACUAGGUUAGAUGCCACUCGUUAUUUAUCCUAGGUUCAACAACACUAGGUUCAAUGUCAUCUAGGUUCGACCUAUGUUUAUUAACACUAGGUUAAUGCCACUCGAUCUACUUGAUAUCCUAUUUGUCAUAUCGAGUCCAUAUGCACAUGCAUCUUAUCUAACAUGCUCACAUGAUGUUACAUGCACCUAGCAUACAUUCCAAUGCACACAUACAUAUCACUUGCAUUAUCACUAGCAUGUAUUCUAUAUCAUAUCAUUUUACAUGGAUCUACUUAGCAUUUGCAUCAUAUUAUUAACAUGCAUUAUUUACAUUUAUAUGCAUCAUCUAUAUGCCUCAUUUACAUUCAUAUGCAUCAACGUGGAUUCUUAAUCAUCUUAGACAUAAAGGGCGACCUAGUCGCUUCGGUAAACACAACCCACCUUAACUCGCGUUCCGAUUGCUCGUCGACACUUGCAAUCGGCCUCCCGCGGCACCCGUGACCCGGUUCGGCUCGAACUCUUGCGCGACCACCCGAACGGCCACCAAUCCGCGAUCCGUCUAUUCUGGAGUUUAUUCCACGACACCACGAUGCUCCCGAUCCGUUCUCAUGAUUUUUGGAGGCUUAUUCCGCGUGCUGCGGCUAUCUGUACCAAAACAGACCGUUUCGUCAAUAACUUCGCGUACACUCAUCGUAUCGUCGAACCGAGCGCACCAACGCGUUCGUUAUACCCCCAAUUAGGUUUACAGAGGGUUAAAUGAGAUCAAACCCAUCUAUUUACAAAAAUCCCAUUUUUGAGCCCUAGUUUGCGACUACGGCAAAAUACCCCAAAUCGAUCUCCGAUUCAUGCAUUAAUCUACUCAUAAGCAUGCUAGGAUUCCAUCUAAACCAUUCUUAGAGUGUAUUAACCAAACCCUAAGAAAUCACCAUUAAAGAGCUUCCAAGAAGCUUACCUCCUAAAGCCUCUCCAAGCACAAGGAAGGAAUGAAGAAGAUGGAAAACUCUUCCUCUUCUUCUUCUUCUUCUUCUUCCUCUUCUCCUUCUUCUUCUUCUUCUUUUCUUCUAUUUCGUUUAGAGAGAGAGAGGGGUGGUGUUGGGGUUGAAACGGUGAGGGAAAGAGAGAGAGAGAGGUUCUACUCCUCUCUAUACACUUAACCCAUGUAACAUUUGCAGGAAAACCCCUCAACAAAGCCUCUCUUGCAACAGCCCGAACUGGGAAUUUUCGGGGUUCGGGGACCGGUCUCUACAUGAGGGACCGGUCUCUGAGAGACCGGUCUCUCUACCUGGGACCGGUCCCAGAGAGACCUCCAGCCCAGACUUAGCCAAUUUUCAGCUUCGUCCGUUUUCGCUCCGUUUUCGCCCAUUUUCGUUCGUUUGACCUCCGAUUCGUCUCAAAUCGAACCGAGACUCUCCAAACAUGUUUUUAAACAUGUUUUCAUCAUCUUUCCAUCCUCGCUAAUUCCGGAUUUAGCUCACGGCCCAAUUUAGCCUUUCGGGUUCCGUUUCCGCGCCUAUGCGCACCGAAACGCCCGAUAGCUCCCGAACCUCACCGAACUUCACCCGAACCAUUCAAAUAGCUCCCCAAUCGAAUAUACACCGUAACUUAAUAGUUUUAGAAGUCCGGUAUCUUACAAAUAUGAUUGCAGUGCCUCCUUGGACCUAUUGGUCGAGCUCUUCCCUUGGGUGGCCGUACCCACUGGGAACCAUGGAGUUGGUUCUCACCCCACGUUCUUUUGGGGUGUUACAGGUACACACGUGAGCGGCGCGGUGGCGCGAGGCAAGGGCGUAGCUCCGUAGGUAGCGCCCUACCCCAGAGACCGAGGUAGCAGCACCCGAGUUGAUGGUCUAGCUUGAGGGGUUUAGAGACAAAGUACAAACUUGUAAUAAAUUGUAAUAAUUGUGAUUGUAUUUGGAAGAUGAAUGUAAAAGAUAAUGUGUUGUAACAUUUAUCUAAGUUAAAUGUUGUGAGAUCGGAUCCAGAUAUUAUUUUGGGUUAUUUGCAUACACGUCCCUACAAACAUAGUGAAUUGCAGAAAUAUCCCUGCAAAUUGGAAACUCCAUAAGUUGUCCCUGCAAAAGUGCAAUGUUAUGCAGAUAUGUCCCUGCGGUCAACAUCCGUUAGUGAACUGAUUAUUUUUUAACAGUUGAAGAGUGAAAUGACAUUUUUGCCCUUGCAAAUAUAUCCCUCCGAAGCCCUAACUGAUAAACAUUUGCAAAAAUAUCCUCGCAAAAAUGACAACGGUCAUUUUUGUUCUUUAUAAGUGAAAUGUCCAUUUUGCCCUCACAAAUAUAUCCCUCCAAAACCCAAAGUAAUAAAGUUGUACAGAAAUGUCCCCAAAAAUGACCCUAACGGUCAUCUUUUUCCUCUAUAAAUUCAUCACUCCAUUGCAACAUAUCAUAUAACUCUUUUUUUGCUCUUUUCUCCUUUAUUGAUCCACUAUUUUCCUUCUUCUCUCAUUUUGAUCUGUUAAAUCGCAGCAACUUUACUUUUCGAUUUUUUUUUCUCUUCUAAUAUUUUUAUGAUGAGUGAAAGAUCAGCGGAUUCUUCUUCGAGCAACCAAAUCCCUAAGUGCGAUUGCUUUAAAACUUGUAGAAUUUGGGUUUCAAAGCAACCGCACACUAGAGGUCGUCGGUUCUAUGGGUGUCCAAACUGGGGGGUAAGAUAAUUUCUUUUGCAUUAUCUGCAGUAUUUAACCCUAACUUUAAAUUUUAACCAUUUACUAAUUAGUUUCAUAUUUUGCAGAGUAAUGAGCACUAUAAUUACUUUGGUUGGAUUGAUGACGCACACCACAAUACUGUUGACUUAAAAUACCAAGUACAAGCAUUUCAAGAAGCAGUGGAGCAUCGUAUUCAGAAGUUAGAAAAGAAAGCUUUAUUUCUACUUAAGUUGCUUGUAUGUUUAGUAUUGACUAAUAUCUUGUUUAGUUUGACAAUGUAAUGUGAGUGAUAAUUGUACUUGUUGUAAUGCAAGUGAAUAGAGAUGUGUAAGCUUUAUUUCUACAUGCAUUUUACAGAGUAAUUGAAGUAUCCAAAGUCAAUGUUGUUCCACAAAGUAUAAGCUUUAUUCUACAAAGUAUCCAAAGUCAAUAUUGUUCCAUACAAACAUAGUAUCCAAAGUCAAUGUUGUUCCAUACAAAUAUAGUAUCCACUGUCAAUGUUGUUCUAUACAAACAUAGUAUACACAAUCAAUAUUGUUUCAUACAAACAUAGUAUCCACAGUCAAUGUUGUUCUAUACAAACAUAGUAUCCACAGUUAAUAUUGUUCCAUACAAACAUAGUAUCCACAGUCAAACCAAUAUAAAGUCAAAAUGAUCCACAAAAGUAGAACCAAAUACAACACAUAUCUAUUCAAACCAAAACAACUGCUAUUCAAGUUUCAAACCAAUACAAACUCAAAACUAUUGCAUCAAGUUUCAUAUCUAUUCAAACCAAAAUAUUGCAUACAAAUCAUCCAAGGGUCUCAUUUCAAGUACCUAUUUCGAAUUGAAGUAUCCAGAGGCUGAUUUUGCACAAGCAUCUAGAGGCUGAUUACAUACAAACCAAAAUAUUGCAUCCAAAGGCUGAUUGCAUACAAACCAAAAUACUAGAUACAAGCAUCUAGAGGCUGAUUGCGCUUCAAGUAUCGACCAUUUCAAGUAUCUACCAAAAUACAUCCAUUCAAAUCUACCAAAAUAAGGCUUUUACUACAUCAGCUGUUUUUCUAAACCAAAUCUUAAUUUUCUAGAGAACCAAGUGCAUCAAUUUCACUUAUAGCACUUCUUUGUUGGGACUGCAAGUGUUUUGAUCUCGAUACUACCCUUUUUCCUCUACGCCUGCAAUUUUUAUAUAGUUACUAACUAUUGUAGCAAAGAAAAUAAAUUUAAAGUGAACAUUGUUGGUCAGUAUAGUACCUUGUGCGACUGCUAAUACUUGCUUGAGAUGGUGGUUCAGAGUGCGGAUUCCCUGCUUGAGACGGUUCUGUAAGCUGUUGAUUUGUUGCUUGAGAUGGUGCUGCAGCAGGCUGUUGAUUUGCUGCUUGAGAUGGUCCUGCAGCAGGCUGUUGAUUCGCAUCGACAGGGUUCUUGCAUGUUUUUGCACGGUGGCCUAAUUUAUUGCAUCUUUUGCAUCGAUGCCUCUUCCUGAUUGUCAUCUCGUCUGAUCCUCUAAUUCGCUUGUUUCGUGGUCUUCCAGCUGGCCUAUUUAAAAUAGGAGGUAAUACACGAUGACCGAUGUCAAUCUUUACCCAUUGAUCACAACUGGGUAAUGGUGCAAUGGAACUAGCAUAGGCCUCCUUAUAUUUGGCCACUGUAAAAUAUGGGUGCACAUAUUUUUCCCACUUUUCAUGUUUUAAUUUACCUAUUACUGCCAUUGCAUGAAUGCAUGGCACACCUUUCACUUGCCAUAACCUGCAGCUACACUGUGUUUCAUGUAGUCUCACCUCAAACCUUGAUUGAGGUCCAAUCACUUCUGCUGAAAAUUCAUCACUCCAUAGCACCUCAUAUUGACCCAAACCCUAAAAUUAUGACGAUGGAUAGCAUAAAUAAAUUAGAUUAUAUCUAAUAAAGAGGCCAAAGUAAUUAGAUUAUAGCUUAAAGGUAAAGAAAAAAUUAGUAAUCAUGAAAAGUAAUUAGACUAUAGCUUAAAUUAGAUUAAAUUAGAUUAAAUUAGAUUAAAAUCAGUGUAAUACCUUGCUUAUAUAUUGUUUACAUAUUUGAGAACCGUUUGUACAAUUUCAUGAUCCCAUUUUCUUGCUCUAUUUUUUCUAUCCUCCAUCUUAACCAUUAUUUUUUGCCGGAUAGUAUCGAGCAUAUCAAUCUGUUAAAAUCGGAACGGCGAAAAAUAGAUCCAGAAAAUAAUUUAAUGCAAGAAAAGAAAAGAUAAGAAAAGAACACACCGAUAUUUACGUGGUUCGGCCAACGGCCUACGUCCACGGGCGAAGACGGAGCAAAUAAUUUAUUAAUGUCGAAAAGGCGGAGUACAAAGAAGAUCUCUCAAAAGACCAAAACGUAAUUAGAUCCGAAACGCCGCAAUUAGCAUCCGUACAAAACUUAAGUGGCUCGACCCUCUUACCGAAGCGCACCACGUCGCACGUCCCAGUUGUGGUACGGACAUAAGCAUCAAAGAAGAGAUGGCUCGACUCAAUAGAUACUUUAAUUAAGCAUCACCUCUUAAUUAAGGCUUCGGCUCCUCGUAGAGACCAACCUGCAUGGCUCGGUCAACUCUCCUCAAAUAUAUAGCUUAAUUACAUCAUAGCUUAAUUUUGAGUCGAGGCUGCUUCUUUACCGGACGGAGCACCAACACCUUAAUUAAUUUCCAUGGCUCUUAAUCUUUUGGUCGCGACUUCUUUAAUUUGGCCGUAGCAUGUAUUUAUAAUACAUGUCUCCUAACUAGAGUCUAAUUCUAAUUAGAUUAGAAUUACACUCCUAAUUAUAAUCCAUAUAUGCCAAAUUAAAUCUAAAUAAUAUCUAAUCCCAAUUAGAUUAGGAUUUAUCCUCAAUUUAGAUAACUACAAAUCUAAACCAAAUAUAACACAAUCAAUGGUCUAUGCCUAUCAUUAGAUAUCCAUGCGUUGAAUGAUUCAGAAAUAUUGUUAGUCAAGUAAUCACACUUAGCAAUCGUUCCGAAUUUACUUCGACUCCACAAAUAACUAUGGUUUUGCCGCAAGUAUUCAAUAGCCAUUGGAUUUGCUUCAUACACCUUAGCGAUGCUAGUUUCGUAAACAUUAGGUAUAUAUGCUUUCGCUGCGGCCCACAGAUUGUCUCUAUAGCAGUCCCCAAGAAAUUUUUUUUUGAAGUUGCCAUAAAGAUGGCGCAUGCAUUCUCUAUGUUCAACUCUUGGAUACACAACUUGAACGGCCUCAUCUAAGCUUUUUUGUCUAUCCGAGAAGAAUACUAGGCCUUCGGAUUCUCCUAUUGCUGUCUUCAACCCAUGAAGAAACCAUUCCCAACUAUUCGAGUUCUCCGACUCCACAACACCAAAAGCUACUGGAAAAAUUGAUUUAUUUCCGUCAAUACUUGUGGCCGAUAUCAAAACUCCUCUAUGCUUUCCUUUGAGAUGACAUCCAUCUAAUGCAAUAUAAGGUCUACAUCCAUUGAGGAAUCCUUGUAUGCAUGGACCAAAUGCAAGAAAAACUCGCUGAAAAUGAUGCUCUUCAUUAAUCACUUGCAGCUUUACUUCCACGUGGCUGCCGGGAUUUCUUCUAACAAUUUCCUCUUUAAAAUUAUAGAUUCUUUGAUACGAAUACUCCCAAUGCCCAUGAAUCUUAGACAAUGCCAUUUCUUUUCCCCUAAAUAUCUUGGAAUAGGUCAAGUCCACAUGAUAUUUUUGUUGCAGUCUCUUCCGCAAUUCAGUUGUAGAUAAAUCUCCUUCCAACCGUAGCCACUCAAUAACCCUAUUGCACACCCACGAUUGUGUUGCCACUUUGUUCCGACACCUAUUGGCCGACGUGCAUGUGUGCUCUCCUUGUAAAGUCUUUAUCUAUCACGUAAAUGUUAGUUAGAAAUAUCAGCAACUUUCAUUUAUAAAUGAAUGAUACUAAAAGUACAUUCAAGAAUGAAAAGUGAAAAUAGGAUAAUGUUGGUAUUACCUGAAAAACUAAGGAAUCUUGAAGUCGAGAUGCAUGGAUUCGCCACUUGCAAUUAGAUUUUGCGCACGUUGCAGUUACCCUCAAAAGAUCACUUUUUUGUAGGUUAUACUCAAACUCAUUUAGUAGGGCAAAAUGAGUCAAUGCAUCUCUAAAUGAACCUACAUUUGGAUAUUUUGCUCCUACUUCCAUAAUAGGGUUAUUCACAUCAUAUGAAAAUGUUCCUACAUGAUCCAUAUUAUCCUCUAAAUCAGAAUCAUCAGUUUUAAGAGAACGAAAGCUAUCUUCACUUAACAUUGCAUCUGAUUCAUCAACUGGUUCUUUAGCAACUUGACCAACAUCUUCACCAAAUGCUUCACCAAUAUUUUCACCUAUAUCUUCAUCAACUGCUUCUUCGGCGACUUGACCAACAUUUUCACCAAUUGCUCCACCAAUAUCUUCACCAACACCUUCACCAGCACCUUCACCAGUACCUUCACCAACACCUUCAUCAACACCUUCACCAACACCUUCAUCAACACCUUCACCAACACCUUCACCAAUACCCACAAUGUUAUCAUCAAUCAUAUCAAUAUUGCCCUCUUGUGUUAGAGUUUUUUCACCAUUAUAGUUUAAUGAAAUGCCUUGCGACUGAAUAGUUAUAAAAUUUCUGCUUCUUUCAUGUCAUUGUAUAUAGAAAAUAUAGCCAUCAACUCCUGCUCAGAGAUUGCUUGAAUGAAUUUCUUUGACUUAACAUUUCUUGCUAUAUACCAUAUACCAAUGUUCUCCGUAACACCACAAUCCCAUAGUGAUCGUACAUCUCGACAAAAUUCAGUAAGAUUGUAACUAUCAAGGUCUAUCAUCAACGAAUGCUUCUUACCAUCACAAUAUCUCAGUCCACAUGCAGUUUUUACUGUUUUAAAAUACCCAGCAUAAUUGAACUUCACUUUGGAAAAACCAUGCUCCUCCCUAUCUAUGAUCAAACUGCCACUGUAGAAACAAAAAAAAAAAUAAAAAUGACUAGGUUCUAUACUCGUAUGCUCUAUGAAAAUAUGACAAUAAUUAUAUAGAUCUAACUUGGAUGAUUCAAGCCUACUUCUUAAGGCCAAAAUUAUUUUAAAAAAUUAACCUAAAAUACUAGGGUUUUUUUUCCAAAACUAACAAUCAGAUAAAUCAAGUUUUUGAUUUAUAGUAUGUAGUGCACUAACCUUGCUCUAGUAAUGAAAAAAAACUAACAAUCAGAGGAGCAAUACACCUCGUUGAUGAAUAUGAUGGAAAAAACCCUAGUAAUGGUAGAUCUGAAGCUUGAGGAAGAGGAAUAGGAAAAGGAAAAGGAAGAGGAAGACGAGCAAUAAACCUCGUUGAUCUGAACCUCGUUGUUGCGCGAGGAAGACGAGCACUAAACCUCCUCGAUCGCGGGCGCUCUCCUUGCAUCGCGGUCGCUCUCCUCGCACUCUCGGGCGGAACACCUGAGGGCUCUCCUUACGGUUUGGUUCCACUCAACUAGGGUUAAGGGCCCACCAUAGUAGUUAGGUAAGUUAAUAGGAUAUAACAUAAGAGGGGCAAACUAGUCAAUUCACACUAUUAACUAAUCAUGGUUAAGUAGUUUAACUGUGGUUAAAUAAAUUUCUCUAACAGACUCUAACAGCAAGGACAUAUCUGCAUAACAUUGCACUUUUGCAGGGACAACUUAUGGAGUUUCCAAUUUGCAGGGAUAUUUCUGCAAUUCACUAUGUUUGCAAGGACGUGUAUGCAAAUAACCCUAUUAUUUUUAUCUAGAUGUGAAUAGAUAAUAAGAGGUUGUUUUGUUCACCUAUUUUAGAUUAAGAAAUUAGAAUGAGAUUCAUUAAUUUUGUUUUAUAGGAAUUAGAUGUCGAUUUCCACUUUGGAAUGGGAAUAAGCCCAAUAUCCAUUUAUGGCUUAAUCCGGAUUAGAAUCUCAGACGGACACAUUCUAAAAAUAAUCAGUCAAAAUGUUCUUUCAUAAACGUCUCCCUCACCACCUCCUUUAUCACUCUUCUCUCUCUGAAUCAAAACAUUCUCUAUCAAAUUUGUAAAUAUUAAUUUUAGUUUUUAUUCUAAAAAUAAAAAGUUUUAGAUGAUUCAUUGUUUCAUUUUUUAUUUUAGUGCAAUUCAGUUUUAUUUUUUAUACUAUUUCUCUUACCAACCAAACAUGCCCUAACUAUGGGUAUGAAUGUUUUGGAUAUAAUAUUUGGUUCGUUUUCUAAAAUACGGAGCUCUUUCACAAAACCAGCUAGCUAGUCUUUAUGGGUGUUUGGUCUAGCUUUGAAAAAUGAUUUUCAGGCCAAAGGUAAUUUUUGGCUCAAUAGAGAUUUUGAUAAUCUCGUUUUUAAAAUUCGAUUCUAAUUUUUAGAAUUAGAUUUUAAUCUUCAAGGACCAAAAUUAGAAGCAACUAAAACCUGUUACUUGGAAUAUGAUUCUUAUUUUAUACUCAAAAUUCAAUUUUUUUUUAUUUUAGAUCCAAGUUCUAAAUUUAAAUUCAAAUUUCAAUUUUAAUUUUUAAAUUUUAUAUUUAAAUUUUUAAAUUUUAAAUUUUAAAUUUAAAAAUUGAAAUUUAGAUAUUCAAUUUAUAAUUUUAAGUCUUAAAUUUAAAUUUCAAAUCUCAAAUUUUAAAUUUUAAAAUUCAAAAUUUUAAAUCUCAAAUUUAAAAUUUAAGAUAAUUUGUAUUUUAAAAUUUUAGAAUUUAAAAUUUAAAAUUUAAAAUCUAAAAAUUUUAUAUUUAAAAUUAUAAGUUUUUAUUUUCAAAUUUUAAGAUUCAAAUUUUUAAAUUUCAAAUUUAAAAUUUAAAAAUUUUAAUUUAAGUUUUAAAUUUUUAAUAUUUAAUUUUAUUAUUAUAAAUUUUAAUUUAUAUUUAACUUUGAAUUUGAAUUUAAAUUAGAUGUUAAAAAUUGAAAUUUUUAGUUUUAAAUUUCAAAAUUUUAAAUUUUUUUAAUUAAAAAUUACAAAUUCAUUUUUCUUUUGGCUAAAUUCUCAUACAAUUACAAUUUAAAUUUAAAUUCCAAAAUUCAUUUUUAAAUAAAAUUUAGUGAAAAAGUUAUUAAUAGCACAAAGUCUUUUUUUUGCAAAUAAUUGUUAUAAAAUUAAUUUUUUAUUUAAACUUAGUUAUGCUUUAUAAUUCUUAUCAAAUUAAUUUUUCUACAUUAAAUUUAAUUUAAUUUUUUCAAAAUUUAGGGAGAACGGGCGUCCUCUUGAUUCCCCAGAUGAUUUUCAGUUCGCUCCUCUUAGUUUUUUUUGGUGCAAAAGCGAGGCACUCCUCGGUUGAAUCGCCAACUCUCUUGCUCGUUCACAAAACUCUGCGAUCUUUCCUUCCACUUUCUCUGUCUGUCUCAAUCUUGCUCGCUGCGUGCUCGCCUUUUGGCCGGGCGUUGUCAAGGAUCAAUCAGGGAAAUUUUGUUACCUAUCCAUAUAACUUUUUGCUUUGUAUGUGCUGCUAUCUAUGAUUGUUGGAUUUGCUUGACUUUAUUUAUUCUAAUUUCAUUUUGUUUUUUUCUAUAUAGCGUAUUAUUUUUGAAUUAUACUGCAGUUUUAUUCGUUUGAUGAUUUAAUAUAUAAUAUAAGUAUUAUCUGAUAUUAAUAUACAAUAUUAUAUAUAUAUAUAUAUAUAUAUAGAACUAGGCUGGAAUACUAUCAAUAGCACCAAACUAUUGGUGCUAUUGAUUUUUUAGCCAUUGGAUUGAGAAAUGGAUGGUUAGGAUGAUGUGGGCCCCCUAGGAUUGAGUGAGUGGUUGGUUGAAUAGUAUAAUCUAAUGGGUAAAGAUAAUCAAAGGGUUAAAUCUAACGGUGGAAAACUCGAUAGCAUCAAAUCCUUGGUGCUAUCGAUAGUACCCCAGCCGGACUAUAUAUAUGUGUGUGUGUAUAUAUAUAUAUAUAUAUAGAGUGUAGUGUCCCUAGUGUUUAGCGGUCUAUGUAAUUUCAGCAUCUGUGGCUUGUUGGCACGUCUGGUGGGUAUCGAGACAAGUCGGAAUCAUUUUGGUGCGAAAUUGACGCAAAACGGACUUAGCGCGAUGCGAGAGUGGAGUUCUGACAUUGAAAUCUGCAAAGUGCAGGAUUUCAGUGUUGAGUACCGGUACCUGAGGAGGAGUACCGGUACCCCAGUGAGAUUUCAGAACUGGAUGCUCUCGGGUUUGCGUAUGUUGAUGCUGAGUACCGAUACCUAUUGUCGAGUACCGGUAUUGAGCUCGGGUACCGAUACUGCAUCGGGCUGGUAUUGGUACCCAGUGUGCGGGAUUAAGGAAAGAGAGGCCGAGUACCGGUAUCCAAGUUGGGUACCGGUACUCCAAAAGGCAAAUUGAGUAGAUAAGGAGCUUUUUGGUCUUUUGUUAGCGUUAAAACCAAACCAAACCCCCCAGCCUUCUCUUUUGUGCCUGAGGUUGGUGAAACACAGGUUGGCUUCUCUCUCUCUCUCUCUCUCUCUCCUUAAUUUUUCCUUGCAUUUUGUUGGGAACCUGAGGUUAGAGCUCGUCAUUUCCUUUGUGUCGUAGGAGGGUUGCACGCGCGCCGUGGUGGAGUCCGGUUGAACCGUCGGAGGUCGAGCGAGCGCGCGAGGUGUCUCCUGUCGACUUCUUGCCGACGUUGGACGAGCACUCGAGGUGGGUUAAUAUUUACCGAAAUCGUCGGAUUUCCUCCUAAGUCGUAGUGUUGUCAGCAUGUGUGUCACGCCCCGAGCCCCGCCUAUUUGGUCGGGUUCGGGCACACCGACAGACCGCCGAACGGACAGAGUCUCCCCUGUAUGUCCUAGGCGUCACAAUCGAUACAAGUACAAGAAGUUCCAAUCAGGAACAGUAUUCAAGCAAGAUUGCAUAAGGAAGGUAUCAAACAACAUAACACAUCCUAUGUUAUUACAAGCAUUCCUAUUAGAUUCAUUUCUACAUCACAUUAGCAUUAUUAUAUUACAUUUUCUUCCAAAUACAAUUAAUGAUCGCAAUAUUAUUAUAAGUUUGCUCUUUUUUUUUUCUUUUUCCUAUACCCCUAGGCUAUGCAGACUCGGGGUACCUCUAUCUCUGGUCUCUGGGGUAGGGCGCUAUCUAUGGAGCUACGCCCUCACCUUGCGCCGCCGCGCCGCUCACGUGCGAACCUGCAACACCCCAAAACAACAUGGGGUGAGAACCAAUUCCAUGGUUCCCAGUGGGUACGGCCACCCAAGGGAAAAGCUCGACCAAUAGGUCUAAGGAGGCCCUGCAACAUGUUAGUCCAACAGAUAUCCAACAGAUAUAUAUAUAUUCAAGUAUUGAAAUACAUGUUGUGCCUCACGAUAUGCAAUAUGAAAUUCAUGCAGUUUAUGCAACCAUGCAACCAACUAGUAGUUCAAUCGAUACUACUUUUAUUCCUGUUAUUCACAGUUCAACCAAUUGACCUCUAAGUUUUCCUCUAUCUUAGAUUCUUGUCAAUUACAGUUCUGCUCAUAGAGUUUAACCUACUAUUAUAAGCUAUCCACUCGACUCGGUUUUGAGUCAAUCACACGCGGAAUACCGCACAAUGCCAGACUCAAGGUGAAGGAUGUCUCACAUGCACCUCAGCCCUAAAUCCACUCAACUGGGAUGCAACUAAAACUCAUAUAAUGCAUUAAAUAGUAAAGGUUUACUAUCAUGCUAACGAAUUCGAUCCAUAUUCGAAUAAUAAUGUUCAAUGGCAUUGUUCACUAUCUUUUACCCAAUCUGUAGCAAAGCCCUAUAAUAACAACAACAAUCUGCGGAAUACGCAAAAUCUGCGUACCGCCCAGACCCGUGCACGGCCCGCCCGAAGGCGACCCAGGGCCCCGCACUGUGGUGUGGUGCACCCGUCCACUGUUCAACUGCGUCCACAUAGAACUGCUCUAUCACUCUGACGUAACCCACGGUUUCAGCUAUUACAACCUAGCGUUGGGGGCCAAAUGGAGUGUGAAGACCUUCUCGGACGUCUUUUGGGAAUCGUAUGCCGAGCUAAAAUCAUAUCGUAAGGUAGGAGUCUGUCUACCCGUUUAUCUUUCCUGGUAAAUUUGAGACCUCCUAUACGACGUCCGCAUACAGUAGCUGAUAUUCCCCUCAACCACACUAGUAAACGGCUACCGGCUCAAGCGGAUGUUGUUGUCAAAAGUACGUUCAUAUCUCUACCGUGGCAAACUCCGGGAGAUACCCGCCUUCACAGCCAGAGGAUAUGUGAGCCCACUACACCCACUCGUACAUCUCAAGCCGGGUCUGCACAACGCUCUUCGUCUCCUCUUUCAGGCGGAACGAGCGUUCGCUGACGAGUGCCGCGUCAGCUCUGUCUUUUCGAUACGACUAUCCGCGGCAGCUCUGUAUCUUAGAUGCCACCCACUGGCGCAUAAGAAUUUUCAAAGCGGUUACACCCACACUUCGCCAAACCUCACGCCCUUUCAAUUCAGGGGACAUAUAACUUGGUAUACUCUAUAACCUCGCUCAACCGUGCCAUCGGAUAGCUGAACGGAACGGUGGCUUCGAGCGCCUACAUGUGUUACACAAGGUACAGAGGUUGGAAGCGUUCAUGUAAAUACUGGAGAUCGUACGCUACGAUAUACUUGGCGGCCUUGAAGUUCUUCUGAACUCGAUGCUCCUUAAAGGCCACUACCAAUAGCGGGUUCUUCACGCUUUUGACGCUUUAGCGCUCUAAGGGAUGUACUUCUAGGCCACCUCGUUAGUACUACUAGCGCUCCGGUGGACCCUUGAGCUCUUAGACUACUCUUUCGUAGUAGGAGUGAAUAAACUCCUUAUUCCAUAUCUUUGACUCAAAAUUAAUUCAAGUUAGUCAAAGCUCCUACUUUGAGGAAAAUUCCUCCCCUCCUACAUUCCUUCACUUAAGAGCUUUAGGCUCUCAACCUGAAGUAGGUCUUAGCUGAUUAACAGCUCACCCAUCCGAAGCCUUUUCAAUUUCUAAAAGUUUUGUGUUUUUCAUGAAACCUCAGUUCAGGCGCUCUCGUUUCUACGUUUUUAUACGUAAACCGUCCAAGACGAGAGCCCCUGGCCAGGGACCGCCACCCCUGGCCAAGGGCAUUCGUUCUUACGACCGUCUCUUCCCCAGACGCGACUCAACGAGAGCCCCUGGCCAAGGAUCGUUCCUUCCUGGCCAGGGGUAUUGACUCCAACGCCGUCUGUCGAUUACGUUGGCCAGGGACCGUUCUUCCCGGCCAAGGGUAUUCGCAUAAACCGACUCCACGAGAGCCAUCCCUACGUUUACCUAGGCCCAACCACCUCGAGGUGGGGCUAGGCGGGGCUUACCCCACCAUUCACCCUUUUGUUUUAUAUCUUUUUAUAUUGGGCGGGGCUUAGGCGGGGUUAGGCGGUUCAUUUACCUCGCCCUCCGCCCUCUGAGAAAAGAAGGAAGUUAGAUGGGGCUAGGCAAUUUUUAGGCGAGGGCGGGGCGAGGGCGGGAUUAGGCGGAGCUUACCUCGCCAUUCACCCUCGGUUUUUUAUUUUACUUUUCAUUGGGCGGGGCUUAGGCAGGGCGGGUCUAUUUUUUACCUUGCCCUCCACGCCCUUGAGAGGGCGGGGGCCUAGGCGGGGCAAACGUAGGGAUCGAGAGCCCCUGGCCAGAGAGUAGCCCUCCUGGCCAGAGGGUCCCUGGCUAGAGAGCACGUCCCUGGCCAGAGAGCACGUCCCUGGCCAAGGGCAUACGCACUUCCGACCGUCUCUCGGAAGGAGGGCGUACCUAACGAGAGCCCCUGGCCAGAAGGGCUGCUCCUUGGCCAGGGAGGCACGCUUUUGACGAGUCCGUUUCGUCAAACUCUUUACUUUUCAACUCCCCGAACCGACGUUAAUACGGAAUCAAUCUCUCAUAUCUCUCGUUUCCCGAGAGAGAGGGAGAGAGUAAAGGGAGAGUUGAGAGUAGAGAGAGAGGGAGAGAGAGAUCUUCUUUUCUUUCUCUUCUUUUCUUCCUCUUCUUCUUCUUACUCUUUACUUCCUUUUCUUCUUCUUCUUCCUCUCGCUCGAUCCCUUCCGAACCUCGUAGAAGAGCAGAAGGAGAGGAGAGGUAACCUCGAUUGGAUCUCCAUUCGAGAACUCGGGAUUACCAUCUUGAAUUCCAAAAACCCAAAAACCGAAAACUCUACUCCAGUUUAUCUGGAGAUCGUGAUAAUUAUCACCUUAUCUCGAUCUUCGAUCCCAAGAUAUCACGAUUAACGUUCUACACUUGGAAUCCUGUGGGUUUACCCCCAAAAACCUUUAUGUACUCUAACUAGAGUAAAUCACCGAACAUUUGGAUAAACUAUCCACAGAUUUGCGCCCCCGCUUCAGCCUAAAAGCCAAGUAGCUCGCCCAUUUUUCGAUAGCCGCUUUAUAUCAGCUAACUCGUGGCAAAACCUGGUUCCUCCGGUUCUGGAGUAGCAUUGUAAGCAACCCUUCGCAAAGAUCUUGGAAGUAUGGAGUUUUCCACCUCCCACAGUAGGGUUUCGUUGGCUUGAAAAAAGAUACAGAAUCUUUAUGUAUUAAAAGUAGAGAACAUACAACGUAACAUCCUAACGUAAUAUCAUGGAAAAAGAAUACGAAGAUUUACAAUUGGAUCACACGUACCUUAUGAACCACUUUAACUAUCCAUUCCUAACCCAGCCUUAUACCUAGGAUAUCACGGUUUUCUUUCUCUACUUGAGCUACCAAUAAGUCACUGUAUCUCUCACCGUAAUUACAUCACAUGAACUGUGAUUUCCAAGUACUUGAAUCCCUAUUCACCUAAAGGAUCUUUUACUGAGCACUUGUUACUUGAAUCAUCUCGAUUUAUUGAUACGUACUUACAGCUUUAUCCACUCAAGGCUCUCUUACAACCAGGAUCAAGCAUCCCAUAGGAGUGCACCUCUCCUAUCUAGUUCGAGUGCCAGACAAUAAGCCCUAUCAUUUCGGUAGGUAUAGGAGUGUACCUCUCCUAACCAGCAGCUCAUGAGGCCUCACAGCCCGCUAAUCCUGGUGAACCUCCAGGCCUGGUGUACCUCCAGGUAUCUGCCAGGGCUCGAACCCACGUGAACCUCGAGGGAGGGGUGAAACCCUAACUUUUCACUCAAUAACCGCUUGGGUNACAUAUAAUCAUCAUCCAAAGUAGUCUAUACUUAGCAUCUCAUGCAUUCUUUUAGCAUUUAAUUCAUUAUACAUUUCAUCUCAUUGGUAGGUAAUAUCAACUACAUAGUAUGUUUCAAGCAUUCAUAUUAUCAUGUAAGCCUACCAAUACAACUAUAUGCAUCAAUGUGAAUUCGUAUGUUUCUUAGACAUAAAGGGCGACCUAGUCGCUUCGGUAAGCACAACCCACCUCAUAUCGCAUUCCGAUUGCUUGUCGACACUUGCAAUCGGCCUCCCGCGGCACCCGUAUCCGGUUCGACCCGAUUUUGCUAAUACUCACCAACCGUGGGUCGAAUCGCGGCUCCGAAAAUUAUAGGUCUUCGGUUUUGUGCCACAAUGCUCCAAACCCAUUUUCAUGAUUUUACGAUGUCGCCUCGACCCUCCAGGCAGAAACGAAGCCUAACGUCCGUUUCUUUAAUAACUUCACAACGGCUCGACGAAUCGCCGAACCGACUUCGCCAAUGCGUUCGUUUACCUAGCAAUUAGGUUUACGGAGGGAGGGUCAAAUGAGAUCAAACCCUACUAUUUUACAAAACCCCAUUCGGAGCCCUAAUAUGCAAUUAGCCUCCAAAUAAUCUAAAUUAAAUGGAGCAAUAUGCUAACAAUGUUCAUUAGAGGCUAUUAGAACACUUAAUGUGAAGGAUUAAGCCAAAUCCCAAAAGCUUACCACAAUGUGAACGCCGCGACGAAAACACGUCGCUCCAACGGGCGUACGAAAGCUCGAUCCGUCGCCUCCAACGCGUUCGCAAGCAUCUUCUCCACCAACGCCCCGAAUUUGAGCGAGAGAUUUGGAGAGAUGAGAGAGAAAUCUAGAGAGAGAGAGAGAGAGCUUUCUCUCUCUCCAUCAUGUAUGCGUGUGUGUGGUGUGCGGGUGUGGUCGGCUGAGGAAGAAGAAGCAAAAGGCUUCUUUAUAUAUUACACCCCAAAACACUAUUCACUUCCGAGCAGUUCGAAAUCUGAUAUUUUUUGCCGGAACUCCCUGAACAUCCGUUUGAGCUCAAAUUUGACAGUCAUAUUCAGUUUUACUCAACGAGUCCAAAGAAAUUUUAAUAUUUCAGUUUCGACCCCAUUUGGUGACCGAAAACUAUACCGAACUGUAAUCUUUAUCAGAUAGCUGUCGGAUUUUAUUUUUCACCUUCCGGAUGUCAGAAUGACAUGAAACUUGAAAUCUAGCCUCAUAAAAUUAAUUCUGACAUAUCCUCCAGUUUUCAUAAUUUUCUGACACUGUACAUUUUUUGCUAAUUUAUCUGCCCCGUCUCUCACAGAAAACUCUAAAUUUUUUAUUUUCGCUCCGAUUUCAGCACAGGUCAUUUCCAACUUAUAUUUCACUUCUCUAAAUCCAAUAAAAAUAGUAUGUCAUACAAUUUUUAUUUAUUUCUAUUUUUAUAUUUAAAAUUCGGUAUAUUACAUUCCACCGUAACCUCACCGGAACCAUUCAAAUGGCUUUCCAACCAAAAUGUACACUGUAACUUCAUAAUUUUAAAAGUCCGGUACCUUACAAUGUGGUUCUUGGUUUUGGUUAUUACGUUGUAACUCAAAUUCAGAACAAGCAUGUUUUAUGAAAUUUGAGUUUUGGAGCAUGAUUUAGUAUUUUAGACAAAUUUAUAUGCUGAACUUGGAAUUGACUUAGGAGAAAACUCAUUAAACCUACACCGUCAUUUUUCGAAAAGUUACCAGAUUUAGCUUCGGGAGCUACUGUACUUUUGUAUCCCCGCUGUUAGUACGUAUUGGAUACUCAGAUUAGUGUAGGGUGAGUUUACGCUCGUGCUAAGGGCCCGAGCUCGUUUUACAGUAGAGUGUAGACUGUUCUGUACUGUCGGGUGCCGUCGUGGUUGACGGUGGACCUAGAAUUGCAUCAGACUGUGCUAAGGGCACGUGUGUCACGCCCCGAGCUCCGCCUAUUUGGUCGGAUUCGAGCACGCCAACAGACCGCCGAACGGAUAGAGUUUUCCCCUGUUCGUCCUAGGCGUCACAUAUCCAUACAAUGCAAUACACGAGGUUCCAAUCAGGAACAGUAUUCAAACAUAGAUUGCAUAAGUAUCAAAAAUAUAAAUGCUAAACUAUACUAUUACAAGCAUUCAUCUCACAGUUUCUUUUUUUACAUGUUACAACUUCCAAAUACCACUACUGGGCGAGGAGAACCAACAUACCCGUUGAAUCACUACCGGGCGGGGAGAACCAACAUAUCCGUAGUUCUGAUUCACUUGCUUCAUAGCAUACUGGGUGAGGAGAACCAACAUACCCGUUGAAUCACUGUCGGUCGAGGAGAACCAACAUACCCGUAGUUCUGAUUCACUUUUUGCCAAUCCUCUUGUCUCAACCACUGCACUUGCAGUCCCCAUUCCUAGGGAUUCCGGAAUCCACUUCCAAAAAAUUAAAGGUUUAGCACAUGCCCUAUUGUUAACCUUUCUAGGUUUAAACCAUUCAUUUCCUAAUGGUCCUUCUACCACUAUAAUCCACAACUUAGUUUCAAAUACACUAAGUGUCACUAUACAUCAUGACAUAGGUUCAAUCACGCUAUGUUCUAUGUCAUUUCUAUCUAGAUCUCGACUCUAGGUUUCCUUAUUCAACCUAUGUUCAAUGACACUAGGUUCAUGUCCAACCUAUGUUUAAUAACACUAGGUUCAUGCCACUCGAUCUACUUAUCAUCCUAGUUGUCACACCUAGGAUUGUAGUUUACAUAUUCUCACUUUAUAACUGUCGAGUUCUCUAAUCAACCUAGAGUUAUCGACCCAUAUUCAACUCAUACGAAUCUAGCAUGUUCACAAUAUGUCAACGUUCAUAUAUCAUAUAGCAUUACUGUAAGGUGCCGAACUUCUGAGGUUAUGAAGUUACGGUGGAAUAUGAUGUACCGGAAUUUUGAAUAUAAAAGUAAAUAUAAAUAAAAAUAGUAUGAGAUACUAUUUUUAUUGGACUUGAAGAAGUAAAAUUAGACCUGGCAAACGGGCGGGUUGGGUAACCCGUGUGUGGGUCAUUGUACCCACGAGUCAUAUGGGUAUGGGUAAAAUUUAUCCGCAAAUUUUUGGGCAGUCGACAUCAUUACCCAUACCCGCCCGCGGGUGGGUGGGUGGGUAUGCGGGUUACCUAUAAAUUUUUUUUUCUUUUUUUACUUCUAUACUUUCUAAAUACAAAACACAUAUAUAAAAUUUUUAAAAGCGUAACAUAAUUCACUGCGUAAAAUAUCACAAAAUACAAUAAAAAUAUUUAAAGCCUUAAAGCGAAUAAAUUUCAUAAUAUAAAAAUAUUUUACCAUCCCAAAUUUUCAUGAUAUCAAAUUAAUAAAUUUUUCAUAAUUAUAGAGUCAAUAUAAUAAAGAUAAACCACCAAAACUCAAUCCACAACUGUCGCUUUAGUAGUUGAUUCUCUUGAUUCUGGAGUUUCACCAAUAUUCAACAAUGGCACCACAAGAUCGUUGUCGUCGUGUUCAUCUACAUUUAAAAUUUGAAAUAAUUAAUUCUCAUAGAAUAAAAAAUAUUAUAAUAUUAAUUUAAAGUAAAUAAAUUUAUUACNGUAGUGUAAUCUAUUGCGAUCGUUAACACUGUUCUACCUCCCCUAGAACUUCUCAGUCGAGACAUACGUUUUACGUAAUAAUACAUUACCUUUUAUAAAAGUACACGCAACAAGACGAGUAUAGAAUUUGAACUAACAAGUUCUCCCAAAUUUUCAAAGAUCAUACCGUGAUGUAUUCUAAGCUCUUUCAUAAUUCAUGGAAUUCUUGUCACUCCGUUCUAACUAAUUUAAACGUCUUGAACGUUUCGUUUGUCUACAAUGAUGAAGUUACGUAAACGCGUACCUAUAUACGUGAUCCACCUUGAGGUGUAUAAACUACGAUCUCUUACGAGAAUGUAAAGCUGUACAAAAAUACGUAAUAAGAAACAAACUAAGUGUAAUAUUUAUAACAGGAAGUUUACUACUCACCCUAUCCCGCCUUUCCUAUACACUAAAAAAUCUUGGUAAAAUACUCUAAUGAUGAGAAAAUAGGCCAAGACUUAUAGGUUGACGUUUAAACAUGAAAGGUUCGCACACCUUUUAAGUUUUCGCGGAAGAACUUCUUCGGCUCUCACUUCUACUUUAAUAUUCACUGUACCGUUUUGUUUACUUUAGGUUCAAACUCUUUAUAACCCUAUUAAUAUUACACUAUAACCGAUAACGUUAAUAAGAACUAAUCCGGAGCGUUUACUCAUUCGGCCGAGCGCAAGCCGAGCGCAAGCCUAGCUAUAAGCUGAGAGAGUUUUAGUCCAAAUAGGUUGAUCUAUGGAUCUUCUACGUGUUCCGUCUUUCUAUGAGUGUUCGGUUCUUUCACAUUGUUAACAAGCCGUUCUUAACAUAAAUGAAAAACUUUUUAUACAACUUUUCAAAAGACACGUUCGGGUUCUUUUUAGAAGUAGUUGAUGAUUAACAAGAUGACCACGAUUUUCUUUCUUUUUACUGUAAACACAUUCAAUAAGAAAUCGAAAAAGAAAUAUCAACGUCAAUAAGUUUAUGAAUUGAAAAAACAUAUAAAUAAUUAAAAAAAACAUAUAAAUAACAGAAAUUAAAAAUUUACAAAGUUACCAAAUCCUGAAACUACCGAAACUAUCACUUAAACCGCAGUGAUCGUUUAGACUUAAUCUAGCUAUAAACCUCCUCUGUUUCAAGCUAGCAUAUUUUGUACGAUUUAACUUAUAAGAACUAAAAACCUUCCUAUUAACACAAGCCAUAGGUUAAGAAAGAUUCUACCGCGCACUAUAAUACUCGUAUGGUUAUUGUUGGCAACGAAGUCUUAGACGAACAUCGUAACCUUCAUUUCACGAGUGUUUCAUGGCUUCAAGUGAAACUGGUCUUUUACGAGUUCAAAACUAGACGUGUGCUUCAACCAACAUACCUAUACUUUAAUUUCCAUUAUUUAAAUAAAUGAAAUUUAAUUAUAAUAUUAUAAAAAAUAAGAAAAUAUUUUUUUCUCAAUUCCCCAAUCUUUUAAGAACUCAAAAACUUUUUCAGAUAGGACAGCACCCGAGUGUGGAGGAGGAAGAUGACAAAAAUUCAAAAUUUUACUAUGCAAUAUCCAAUUUUCAUCUACAAAGUGUGCUGUUAGGCAAAUAUACCCUUCACUUGUGCAAGAUGACCACAAAUCAGAAGUAAGACAUAUUCUACUAGAAACCUUCCCUAGAAUAUGCUUAAUAUUUUCUUUCUCCCUUUUAUGUAUUUUCAGGCAAUCGGUCUUUGCUGUGUUUCUAGUAUAGGGUUUGACGUCCUCAUUCAAGUAAAAAUGCACAUCCCUAAUUCCUUCAUGCGCAGCAAAUGAGAAAGCAUAAUUGUGUUUCAUAAUUGCAAUCGCCAUCUUCUCACGAUAAGUUUCUUGGUUAAAUUUUUUUCCACGUAAUUUUGCCUCGUAACCUGUAAUAUACCGAAAAUUCAGAAAAUAAAUGUCGAACUUUAGUCAAAUUGACUAAAGUGCGAGGACGGUACAUUUCGGAAAGUCCGAAGGUGUUAAAAUGAUUAAAAGUGAGUUGCGGGAGGUUGUCGAGAGCUAUAGAAUCAAAAUCUGCAAACUGCAGACUUUGAGCUCUCGGGGACUGGUCCCUGGUGGGAGAGACCGGUCCCCGAACGCGUAUGAUUUGAGACAGCCGAAAAAUCGGCUAAGUCCUGAGAAAUUAGCUCUCGGGAACCGGUCCCUGCCUGAGAGACCGGUCCCCGAGAGACCGGUCCCCUAAAGAGAGACUGGUUGCACCGCGCGCGGCAGCUCUGGCUGUGCUGGGACGACCUUCGGGAACCGGUCCCUGAAGGAGAGACCGGUCCCCGACUGCGCGAACUGCCCAGUUCGGGCAGUGUAAUGAGAUCAAAGCUGAGGGACUUAUCUGCAAAAAUGCAUUAUGUGGGUCAUGUUUAGGGUUGAGAGAGCCUCUCCCUCUCCUUCCCUCACACCUAAACUCAUCCCUCUCCCUUCCUCUCUCUAGAAGACAAAGAAGGAGAAGAAGAAAGGAAGGAAAAGAAGGAGAAGAAAAAGGAGAAGAAGAAGAGGAAGUGAAGAAACUCCCUCUCCCUCAUCUCUAGCUUGGAAAAUGAGAGCUUACAAGGUAAGCCUUGAACCCUAAUUAUGGUGGGACCUAAUUUAGGGUUUGGAUUAAGCUUAAGAUGGGUUUUAUGGAACCAUUUGAGUAUUUGAAGUUUUCUUUUGCUUCUUUUGAGAUCAAAACCAUGGUUUAGCUCAAAGGUGAGCUUCAACCCACCUCUCAUGGUGAAAUCCAAACUAGGGUUUGGAAUGAGCUAGGAAUGGUUUAGAUGAACUCUUUAGAGUACAUUGAAACUACUUUUACUUCCCAAUGAGAUCAAACCCUAGGUUUGAUAUAUGUAUUGGAGCUAGAGCACCAAGUUGGGGCUUUUGCUCAUGGGAAUUUCUAAGUGCAAUUGACCCUCUAGAAACCUAAUUGGGGGUAUUUCCGACGCGUUGGUGCGUACGGAUUAACAUUCCGAAGAACCAAUGAAAAGAUAUGAGCAAAAUGACCUAUUAGGGCUUCGUUUUGCCGCAGGUAAAGAACGAGAAGCCUAAAAAUCCCGAGAAAAUCGUCGGAGCACCUUUGAAAGCCUACAAGGUGGGUGGUGCUUCUCAAACUCAUUGAACUUCUCUUUAUGCCUAAUGUGUCAUUCAUUUGAACAUGUGUAUAUAUAUUGUUGCAUGCAUUUUAGGGUAAAGUAAUGAUAAAAUGUGAUGAUGCACGAUUGUGAGUACAAUUUGCAUAAUAUGAUGAAUGAGAACUAAGUAAACGUCGAAAACCCUAUGUGUAUGCAUGAGAGGAAGGUGAGCACCCAAAGUGAGCAAAAGAACAGAGUGACACAAUGACAUAGAUCGAGUGGCAUUUGAUAAAGUUAAAGUGAAAUGACACUAGAGAUAGUGUGAGGUAAAGAACCAACGUAAUGUAAAGAAUGAUGAAAAGGAUAAUGUGUAAAGUUAAAGUAAAGUGGGGCAAUAAGAACAAAAAAUGUAACGAACAAGAAUGCUAGAGCUAGCAGAAGUAAAGAAAUGUAAAGAAUGUGAUUGCAUGAGUUUGCAACAUAAAGUGAUGUAAAGGACACUAGAGCUAGUGUAAAGUCAAGAUUGAACUUAUAAAUCCUUUGAGUUAAGGAUAUGAUCAUACUUGCUAUGAGUUCCGUGCUCGAGGGCGGUCGCUCCCCCUCGGGCGAUGCGCUCCGGAGUUAUGCAUCACGGGUUGGAGUAAACCCGAAGGACGGUCCUAGCGGGUGAGUUCCUGCGAUGAUGGACUUAAUGUGAAACAAGUUAAUGUGGCGAAACCCCCGGGUUAGCCUUGAGAUUAAAGAACAAAGAGCAAAGAACAAAGAACAAAGUGUAACGUGAAAAGAACAAAGAAUUUGCAUAAUCUGCAUUUAUUCAAUGUUGAGCAUAUUUCUGCUUAUUGUUCAGGCAUAUUAGCAUCAUGUAUAGAUUGGUUACUAUAUGCAGCUUAUUCUUUCUAUUAUGCCUGAGUUAGUCCUAGUGGGAAAGUCGGUGAUGUUGAGGCCGAACCCACUGGGAACUUUGUUGUAGUUCUCACCCCACUAUUCCACAGAGCCGGGACCGAGCGAGCUGGCGAGCGACCGAGGCAAAGGUAUCGCGCCUUAGUCAGAGGCCACCAAAGUUGGAUUUCAUUUUGUAGUAAAGUACCCUAUGAUCAUCCUUUGUAUAUGAUGAUAAAUGAUGUAAAGAAAAGAAUGUAAUAUGUAUUUUGAGGUAAAUGUGAUGUAAGAAAGAAAUGAUGAGAUGAAAUGGAAGAAAUUCAAAGAUGAACCAGAUGAAUGAAUGUAUAUGAUCAAAAAUGAAUCAUAGUACAAAUGAAUGUUUAGUUUCCUUAUUCUUUCACUAAUGGCUAUUGCUUAUCCUCGUAUAAGCCGUUUGUGUAUAUAUUUCCGCUAGUGCUUUUCUCUAUUGAUGAAAAUGUACAUGUGAUGAGCCUUGGGCGGAUAGAAAAAACUCUGUCCGUUCGGCGUCUGUUUGACGUGCUCGGGCCGGCCCAAAUUGGUAUCGGUCCCGGGGCGUGACAUAACCAAAAUGUAGUUGCUUUACAUCUUGGUUAAUUUUCUUUGGACAACUUUGGAUAUGGCGUUUUAAAUUUGCUGUCCCAUGAGUAUUAGUACCUAUCGCAUAAGAGGCCUUGCACAAUAUACACCUUGCCCUAUUAUUCCCAUCAUCAUCAACAUAUGUGUCAAAACUGUUCCAUACAUCUGAAUAUUUACGAGGUUUUUCUUGCAGAAUCACUAUCACUAACCCUUUCUUGUUUAACAGUAGUUUGAAUAAUAUCAGGCUGUUGUGUCUCACAAUUAUUAUUUUCGUCCACUAUCUGCACAUGUUCUGAAUCCAUACUACAUAAUGGGAAAAAAAAAGUUACUCCACUAUUUUUGAAAAUUUUUCAGAUUUCAGCAUAUUAACUUUCAACCAAAUAAUGUAAUGAGCAAUAUGAAGCUAGCUAAUUUUUUAUUUCAUAUUUGUUAAAAGCUACAAGAAAAAUUAAAGGGCCAUUGCCUAAACAUUUGUAUUGAAAAUAAACAGAUGUAAAGUUGGAGAAGGACGAUGCAUUAAAAUUAGAAAUCAAAUCACUAGCAAGUUUUAUCUUCAACAAGAAAGUAAUAUAACAUAAACUUAUUCUAUGUAUUCGGAAUGCUAUAUUAUCUACUGCAAUGUUAUUUACCAACAAUUAACAAGAAGGAAGAAAAAGCCGAAAAAAUCAUACAUUUUCCAGAUAAACACAAAAAAGCCGGAGAAGGUGCAGGCGAAGAUCGUAAAUAAGCACUUGGUGGUUCGAUGUAGGUCGGGCCACCAGAGAAUAGUAGAGGAGUGCAGUUGCAAAGGCGACACAGUAUGAGAGGUGGCCACAACGAAAAAAAGAUAAACGAAAGGAAAUUAGGAUUAGGGUUUUUAGGAUGGGUAAACAAAAAAAAACAUUUUUUUAAUUAAAAAUAUAUAUCCGGGUACCCGUGGGUACCCGCGGGUUACCCAGAAUGCCCACAACUUAAUGGGUACCCACCCAUUUUACCCACAAUUUUUUGGGUAGGAAAAGUUGGUACCCAUACACGCAAUUUUAUGGGUAACCCGCGGGUAUCCGCGGGUUUGGGUCGAGAUUGCUAGGUCUAAGUAAAAUAUAAGUCGGAAAUGACUUUUGCCGAAAUUGGAUUGGAAACAGGAGAUUUAGAAUUUUCUGUUUGAAAUGGGGCAGGUAUUUUAGCAGAAACUUCACAGUGUCAGAAAAUUAUGAAAAUCUGAAAAUAUGUUGGGAUUAUUUUCAUGAGGCUAGAUUUAAAGUUUCAUGUCAUUCCGACACCCGGAAGGUGGAAAAUAAAAUCUGACUGCUAUCUGCUAGAGAUUUCAGUUUGGUAGAACUUUCGGUGACCAAAAAUGGUCGAAACUGAGAAGUUAAGAUUUCGUUCUUCUAGUUAAGAAAAAUCGAGCCUGACUGUCAAAUUUAAGCGCAAACGGACAUUCAGAGGGCUUCGGCAAAAAGUAUCAGAUUCUGAAGGACUAAACUGAAAAUUUCAAUAGUUGUUGGGGGGCUAUGUGUGUAACAAAUGCCAUACCCUUUUGUUGUCUUGGUCUGAACCGAGAGAGAGAGAGAGAGCAAGUUUCUUUUCUAUCUUUCUCUCUUUGUCUCUAAAAUUUCUCUACCUCUAAAUAAUCUCUCGACUAAAGAGGAAUUGGAGAAGAAAUUGGAGGAGGAAUUGGAGGUUGAGCUUGGAAUUAGGAAGAGAAGCUUCAUUUUCAUCUUCUUCUUCCUUGACUCAAGAAAAGGAAGCUUGUGAGGUAAGCUUCUUGAGCUUCAAUGGUAGAUUUCUAAAGUUUGAGUUAUAAGCUCUAGAAAUGGGUUUAAUUGAAUCUUAGGAUGCUAAAUGACUGUAAAUUGGAUGAAUCAAGUUCUAAUUUGGAGUAUUCUUGCAAUAGUAAACAUCUAGGGUUCUGAAUGUGGUUUUGUUAUAUAGAUGGGUUUGAUCUAAAUUGGACCCAUGUUAACCUAAUUGCUAGGUAUUCUGAAGCGUUGGCGAAGUCGGUUCGGCGAUCUGUCAAGUCUGCGCAAAGAUAUUGGCAAAAAGGACGUUUUUGGCUUCGUUUUCGCCUGGAGGGCCGAGACGGCGUCCAAAAAUCACGAAAACGGAUUCCUAGCAUCGCGGUAUCAAGUUAUAGACUUUUAAAAUCCAAGGUCGCGAAUUGACGCACGGUUGGUGAUCAUUUGCAAGAUCGGGCCGAACCGGACAACGAAUACUGCGGGAGGCUGAUUGCAAGUGACUACAAGCAAUCGAAAAGGGAUUUGAGGUGGGUUGUGCUCAUCGAAUUGUUUAGCUCGCUUCCAUGUCGAAGCGAUGUGAGAUUUACUAUUGAUGCAUAUAAUGGUAGCUAGUUGUAAAACUUAGGAAUGCAUGGGGUGAAUGCUAUGUUAGGCUAUCAAAGAAUGCAUGUUGACAUAAUAUAAAAUGCUAGAAGGAUGCAUAUCGACAUAAUGUAAGAAUGCUAAAUGAAUGCAUGUUGGUAUGUUAUAGAAAUGUUAGAUGAAUGCAUAUGAUUGAUGCUAGUUGAAUGCAUAAGAUAAAUGGCAUAUGAAUGUUAGCAUUAUGAGAAUUAUACUAGAAGGUAUUUGAAUGUUACCACCAUGGGAAUAUACUAGAAAGAAUGUGCAUGUUGACAUAUUAUGGAUUAUGUUAAAGAUAAUAUGCAUGUUGGCAAGUUGUAGAAUAUGCUUGAUUCAUAUGAGUUGAACAUGGGUCGAUAACUCUAGGGUGAUUAGAGGACUCGACAUUGGAAAACAAGAAUAUGAAAACUGUAAUAUUCGAUAUGGACAAGUAGAAUAUCAAGUAGAUCGAGUGGCAUGUAAAUUAGUGUGGUUGAGACACUUACAAUAUAAUGAUGUAAUCGAGUGGCAUUGAUAUUAGUGUAGUAGAGGCACUAUUAUUUGAACAUAGGGAUAGAUGAGUUCCCGAGUUGAUUGAUAUGUUGCAUGAGAACUUAGUGUGGUAGAGACACUUGUGACAUGAUGACUAUAGGGAUAGGUGGAUUUUCCGAGUCAUUGUUAUCCCUAGUUGACAGGGUAUCCUCAGUAGGCGAGGAUUGGAUCAUACCCACAUAGUCUGUUUUGAGCUUCGGGUGGUCGCUCCACACAAGCAGUACACUACGGAGUUGUCACAUGAGCGGGGUAGCUUACCGGGUGGGACACGAGCGGGGUAGCUCCUCACCUAUGAGACUUGAGAUGUGAGUCGGGGCGAAGGGCGGGGAAGCUCUCCACCUGUGAGACUUGAGAUGUGAGUCGGGGCGAAGGGCGGGGAAGCUCUCCACCUGUGAGAUUAGAGAUGUGAGUCGGGGCGAAGAGCGGGGUAGCUCUUCACCUAUGAGAUUUGAGAUCUGAGUCGGGGCGUAACCUUCGGGCUAGCUAAGUGAUUGGGUGUUAUACAUAUGACCUGUAGUUGAAUCCCAAUUGAGUGGAUUUAAGGCUGAGGUGCAAGUGAGAUGUCCUUCGCCUCGAGCCUGACUUUGCGCUGUAUUCCGCAGAUGAUUGACUCAAGACCGAGUCGGGUGGAUAGCUUUGAAAAGGUCGAUGAAACCUUAUGAGUGGAAUUGUAAUUGACUUGAAUCUAAGAUAGAGGAAACCUUAGAUGUCAAUUGAAUGAGUUAUGGAUAGCAGGAUUGAAAGUAGAAUCAAUCGAUCUACUAGUUGGUUGCAUAGUUGCAUAAACUGCAUGAUUUGCAUUGUUGCACGUUGCGAGGCAUAAACAUGAUGAUUGUUAGUUGCAUAUAUAUAUAUAUAUAUAUCUGUGGAUAUUUGUUGGACUAACAUGUUUGCAGUGCCUCCUUCGGAUCUGUUUGGUCAAGCUUUUCCCUUGGAUGGUUGUACCCACUGAAAACUAUGGACAAUAGUUCUCACCCCCGUGUUGUUUUUGGGGGUACAGGUUAACACGCGAGCGGCGCAGCGUCGCGAGGUCAGGGCGCAGCUCCGUAGAUAGUGCCCUACCACCGAGACCAGAGAUAGCGGUACCCUGAAGUGGUCUAGCUUAGGGGUUUGAAAUGAACUCAAAUGAAUGAAACAAACUUGUAAUGGAUUUAUAAUAACUAGAUUGUAUUUGGAAGGAAAUGUAAAACGAAAAUUGUAAAUGUAUAACCUGGGAUGAAUGCUUGUAAUAGCUUAGUUGUUUUGUAUUUUUGAUACUUCCUUAUGCAAUCUAUACUUGAUUCUGUUUCUGGUUGGAACAUCGUGAAUUGUAUUAAUUGUGACGCCUGGAAUAUACAGGGGAGACUGUCCGUUCGGCGGUCUAUCGGAGUGCCCGAAUCUGACCAAAUAGGCGGGUCUCAGGGCGUGACAAUUAUCCACAAUAUGUCAAUAUGCAUAUUCCAAUGGUAGGUAACAUUAACUAACAUAAUAGGAUUCAUAUUAUCAAUCACAAUCUACGACUAUACAUAUAUGCAUAAAUAAUAAUCAUACUUUACUUUGGCUUCGAAGCAACCUAAUCGCUUCGGUGGAGCACAACCCACUUUUAAUUGAUACCGAAAUGCGAGAAAUUCACUUUCCGCAAUUUAUGAACGAUCGCAAUCCUUUCUCGCGACAAACGAAGCUAAAAUGAGGUUUUUCCUCAUUAGCUUGUCGUAGGCUCGUCGGAACGUCGAUCCGAGCUUUUCAACGCGUCAGUUUUACCCUCAAUUAGGUUUCCACGUGAUCAAUCCCAAGCUAGAGCUUCAAUCCAACAAUUUAGUAUUUUCAAGUUAGAGCUUUAAACAACCUGCUACUAUACAAACUUCAACUUAAUACAACCUGUUUCUAUACAGGUUCUAUAAGAAUCUAUAUAGAAAUCUCAGCUUUAACCAUUCAAGAAUCUCAAAACCAAUUCCCUUAAGGUAUUUAUAUCAAGCCUUAACCAGGAAUAACAACUUACUCACCAUGCUCCCAACUGCCAGGUUCAUAUACAUGAUACAUAUAGGCCUAUUCUAGGCUUUUCAUGUUAAAAACAGCACUAGCAACCCAAGAAAACCCAAGUUAAACCCUUUCUAGGUGAUUAAAAUGAUCUUUAAUCAGGAAUUACCUCAACCCUACAUCAGUUUAAAACUCCAACAGCUUAUUUAUUUCCCAGCUGCAAACAAUCACACAUAACAUAAUACAUAGCUCUCUCUAAGUUUCACAUAGCAAUUUCAGUUUUAGAAACCUAAAAUUUCAUUGUCUACUCCUCCUUUAGGUUAAAUACCAUGAACCAUAACCAGGAAAUAUGUCUCUCCUACCUCAGGUUUCAUCCCAACAAAUAAUUCACAUGUAUAUAUAUCUAUAUAUAUGUUGUCAACACACAAUUCUUUAGGAUUUUUCUAAUAGAAGUUCUAAUACCCCAAAAUCUGUAGCUUAAUCUCUUUUAGAGCAAUAACCUAACUCUAAUAUGAAAUUAGAUCAAACCUACCUCAACUUGGAAGCUCCCACAAGCUGCUCUCAACUCCUGGACCGUCCUCUCAGCUCAAACCAUCAAGAAAACCCAACUCCACACGAACCCUUUUCACUAACUUCAGCCACCUUAGGCUUGUAGAAAGAAAAGAAGAAAAAAAAUGAAAAGAGGAUGAAGUGGAGAGGAGAGAGGAGAUUUAGUACAUAGCAGCUACUGGGGUAAGCUGCGGUUCAGAUAAGAUCAGCUAAUUUCUCAUAACACCCCUCACAAAAGCUGGGUUCAACUCUUUCACAUUUUGAUUCGUGCAGUUUUCUGCACCUGGCAGCAGCUGGAAGCAGCAACAAUUGCCCUCAAAUCCUCACACAAAGUUGAAAUUCUGUUUUACAGAUUAGUCCCUGUGGUUUCCUUGCAUUUGGCAGCAGCCGGCAACAGCAGCAAUUGCUCUUAAACCGCCUACAAAGCAGAAAUUCUGCUUUUACAAAACAGUCCCUGCAGUUUUUAGAAAACAGUCCCUGCAGCCUCUUUUUGGCACUAGACAGCAGCAGCUGGCAGCAGCAGUAGUUGUAGCAGCAGCUGCAAUUAGCAGUAGCAGCAGCACUCAGCAGUAGCAGCAAUUGCACUUAAACCCCCCCAAAAGCAGAAAUUCUGCUUUUACAAUUUAGUCCCUGUAGCUUUUUAGUACAGAAACUGCACUAGGCAGCACUUCCAAGUCAUUUUCUCGCGUAAACUUCGUUCUAACACCUCUAAACACUUCUAAAUUUGCCACUUAACUAUCCCCACAUCUCCAAAAUGAUUUGGAGAUACCAUAAAUUAUCCUCAUUGUUCACUUUGAUACAUCCAAUCAAAGUUAGCGUCGUAAGCCGGAGAUUCAUUUUCGAGUUCGUUUCGCGCCCAAUAUGCACCGAAACAUUCAAUCACUUCCCAAAAUCAUUCCCACACCUCUAAAAUUAUUCGGGAACGAUGUACAUCCAGCUCAAGCUUCAUUUUGAUCCCCCA
Molecule: long non-coding RNA, 56913 nt
Filed under: Ananas comosus (pineapple)
Lineage: Eukaryota; Viridiplantae; Streptophyta; Magnoliopsida; Poales; Bromeliaceae
Description: long non-coding RNA (ACOM_LNC015050)
Source: RNAcentral